Molecule: long non-coding RNA, 47592 nt
Filed under: Vitis vinifera (wine grape)
Lineage: Eukaryota; Viridiplantae; Streptophyta; Magnoliopsida; Vitales; Vitaceae
Description: long non-coding RNA (VVIN_LNC005116)
Rfam family: tRNA (bases 18454-18527)
Source: RNAcentral
AGAGAGUUUAAACAGCAAAGAUUGUUAAGAUACUAGAAGUCAGCUUCAUAACAUGAUUAGUACAAGAAUAAUGCACGAAGAUUCAACGGAUUUCACCAAUUUGAUGAAGAUGUCAUCAUUCCCCUUCUUGCUUGAAAGCUGUUGCAUGGACUUGAACUCUUUAUCAACAUCCACUUUUCUUUCCUCAGUCUUAAGUGUCUGCAGAGCCUUCCUCCUUUCUUCCAGCACCUUCUCAUACUCCUCAAGUGUCAUCUCCUAUUUACAAGAUACAAGGACCAUAAGCAAUAUCCGAUUGGUGCACAAUAAAUAUUGCACAGAUGCCAGUAAGAUCUCUUACUAAUAGAAUGGGAGAUUUUUCAACCAAAAAUAAAAAAUUUAAUGAACAAUGUUGUAAGAAAUAUAUUUUAAUCUACAAUAUUAACUUGAGAUUACCUUAAGUAACAAAAGCUCAUUACUUCUUGAUACUUGUGCUGAAAAAGCUAUUGCAGAAGCACUACAAUUAUUUUUUUUUUAUCAGAAUGGCAAUUAUUAUUACUAUUAUUAUGGAGGGUUGUGUGUAUCUUGGGAGUGGGUGGGUGGGGUGAGGGCUUUCCUGAAGGGAAUGCCAUCUAAUGCUCAAUAAGGCAAACAGUAGAAAAUUAAAAUUUAAGCCUACAUAACAUAGGUUGAAGCAUAUAGCAUGGUUCAGAGGCUGGAUACUACCAUUGUCAGAUCAGAAUUAACAAGCUAAUAUUUUCUUCGAUAAUAACAGUUUCAUUUCCUAGAAUAUUUGAUUACAUAUUUUAAGGCCCCCACCACCCAGCAAAAAGAUAAACCAGAAUUUAAAAAAACUAGAUAAUAUAUAUGGAUUACAGCCACAAAGAACCUGAUAUCAACAAAAAUAUUUCCUCAUAUCAUGCAUGCAUAAUAAAGCAACGGGCACAGUUCAUAUCUCAAGAUGUGAAAAAUAAACAAAGCUAAAAUUCUCUUAGAUAAUCAAAGUUUCACUUCCUAGAAUAUUUGAUUAAAUAUUUUAAGGCCCCCACCACCCAACAAAAUGAUAAACCGGAAAAAAAAAAGUAGAUAAUAUAUAUGGAUUACAACCAUGAAGAAGCUGAUAUCAACAAAAAAAUAUUUCCUCAUAUCCUGUAUGCAGCAUAAAGCAAUGAGCACAGUUCAGAUCUCAAUAUGUGAAAAAUUAAUCAAUAAAGAAUUCACCAUUCCAUUGGCAUAUGCAAAGCAAUGCACAAUGUGGGAAUACUUUAGAGCUUAAUUUAUGGGGAAAGAUAUCAUACUGAAUUGUACUUCACAGAUUCAACCAAUUAUAACUGUCAACCUAAAGAAUACCAGUUGACUGCUAAUGCUGCUAUAAGGUCAACAUAUUUGACAACAACUUUGUAGAAAACAAUGAAUGACCUGGUGCAGGAAAACAAGGUUGCUCUUGGGUGAAAGAAAAAAAAAAUCUCACAUUAUAUUAGAAACAAUUUUUUUUCUCCUGUUUGUUUCCCUCCAACUGCAAUUUAAAAUGAAUUGCCUAAGGAAGAAGCACUAAGGCACACCAUAAUGAUAAGAGUUUAAUUUUUUAUCUUUAAAACCUUGCUUUUGCUGUGGAUCAAGAGUCAUGAAUAUGAUUAUAGGAUGAGAUGCCAACUUUGGCAGGAUAAAAACAUCUAAAUCAUGGAGCCAUUCACCUUUUCCUCAGGUUCCUUUUCUUCAGGUUCAUUCACAGGAUUCUCCUUGUUGCCAUCUGCCACAUCUUCUUCCCCUACAGGCUUCUCAGCCCCCAAAUUCUUCUCACCUUCAUUGACAACUUCCUCAGUGACCCUGAACAAUAAACAUGAUGAACAUAAAAAUUGACAUACAUAUGCAAAGAGAAGUAGAGCAUCUAUACAUAUAAAAGAGAAGCUACAAAAGGAGCUACAACAAGGGCACACCAAAGUAUAUGAGGGGUAUACAAAGGGCACCAAGCAAAAAAGAAUAGGAAAAAGAAAACGCACAACCUUCAACACCUACUUUGACCUAACCAAUCAUCAAAAUCCAAAAAAAGUUACAAGGUGCAGCCGACCAUGCUUUCUUAUGCCUCUUCCCAACAAAGCACCCGUUCCAUCUUGACAACACCAUCCCAUGCAAAAAGGGUUAUUAGAAACACUAGUUGCAAGUGUAAGGGAAAUACUCACCCAGAUAGCUCAUCAGUCUCAGUUCCCCAAUUCCCACGGCCAGACCCUUCUCGUUUGAGCUCAUUUCUGCAAACAGACAGAUGGUUGAAAGAAUAAACGAAGGAGAACCAUACAAAAAUCACAAAUCACGGGAUGCAUCAAGAUGAAACAUUAGAAACUCUAUACUGACCCACGACCAGUCCCACUACGACGUUCAAAUGCCCUACGGGGGCGGUCCCCAUCCCCUGCUUCUCCAUUACUGAAGCCACCACGGCGGCCGCGGAAAGGAGGACGAGGCCCCCCAUAGUUACGCCUUUCAGAGGGUUUUCCACCUUCUCCAUCUUCAGGGGCACCUUGACCACCAGCAACUCCCAUGUUGCUGAAGGAGUUCUCAUUGUUAGCAUAGUCUCGAUUAAAUCCACCUCCACCACGACCACGCCCAUAUCCACGUCCACCACGACCACCUCCACGCCCAGAUUCGUUCUUUCCCUCCCUCACUGUAGAAAAAGAAAGAGACAAUUAGGUAUUAGAGUCUGCUAUGAAAAAGGAAAAAUAUGAUAAUGGAAAAUCCAACAAUUUAUCAAGGUGAAUACUAAGGUAAACUCCAAAACAAAGCUAAACUUGUUUAUUAAUUCCCAAUAAAUUUGUUAUUACAAUAAAACAAAAAAAGUGAAGCAUGUAAGCAGCAUAAAGUCAAGUACAGCAUUGUUAGACUGACGACCAACAGAUGACAAAUGAGAUAGGAAAUAGUGUAAUCUAAAAACCACCUCAAUCAAAGUCUUUCAAAAGCAAAAGAAGGUCUGCAGAUAAACAUCUCAGCUAAUAUACCACAAACCCUUUUGGCGAAGCCCUUGCCACAACUAGCAUUAACUAUAAAUAAACAAUGUAAAAAAACCCAUAAGAAAGCCAAAUAAUAUAUUGCUUCCAAAACAGGCCCCAUUUGGAUCACGAAUAUCUUAGACAGCUACCGACAACAAUUGAACUUUUACAUAAGCUAUCGUCCAAGAAAAGAAACAAUUAAAUGGAACCAAAAGUGUCCAGAUGACAUUGGGAAAGGCCCCAGACAUAACAUCCACACACAAGUAACAAAAGAAUCUAAUCUUAGACUAUUUUCCCCAACUCACCAAUGCUUGGCUUCACACUAUUCUGAUGCCACCCUUUACAUUCAAAUAGCCAAUAAAAGAACACAAGAAACCAAGCUUUGAAGGCAUUUCAUAAAUGCAGGGAAUUGCACCCCCACCAAUAUAAACGCAAACUACAUAGAGAGGAACUAACAAACAUAUUAACAAACUCUCCAAGUCACAGUAAACCAAAUAAAAUUUAGAAGAUCCCACAAAAUCUGACUACAUACUUUCACAUACCAACCAAGAAAACUUCAGCCCAAUGACAAAUGCAUAUUAAGAAAAUGCCAAAACCAAGAAAAAUGAUACAUGGAAAAGAAUACAAAAUUUUAAAACUGUGUAAGACGCAAAUAAAAUGAUUACAAAAUCAUAUAUAUAUAUAUACCAAAAAUGCAUCUACUUCUCACAAACAUCAAUACCACAAAGGCCAAACAACAUGAUAAAUCAUUAGGAUACAAAAACUAAGUGAACAAAUGAAUCCCACUAAUUUCUAAUUAAAAAUACAAUACAACAAACACUUCUAAACUUAGCUUAAACAAAAUCUACCGUCUUUCUUUUCAUGUACAAGAGCAAAAUAAUUCCAUAUCAGAGAAACCACAUUAAAGGUUAUAUACAGAAAGAAAAACAAGUAAUAUUCACUUAACGAAUCAAAUAAAACCUCUCUUCAAAUCUCUAUAAAUCACCCAAAAAAGAAAAGAAUCUAAACUUUCCCAAAAAGUAAAAAAUAAAACCCAUGAAACCAAAUCCAAAUCCUCAAAAAUCCACAAAAUAAAACACAAUAUAAUAGAAGAAAUUGAACCUAAAAGAACACUCACCGGCCUGAGCUGGAGGCACAGGCUUGGAGGGCAGCUUGGCCGGCUUGGCCUGCUGAGCGGGAGCCGCCGCUUGAGUGGGAGCCAGGGCCUUCUUCGGCACGAUCUUCUGAGCUGCGAUCAGCUGCGAGGGGUCCUCGCUAUCGUCGUCCCCCAAUAGGUCGAAAGGGUUCAUGGUCGCCAUUUCUGAUUGUACCCUCCAACCACAAAACAAAACCCUAGCUUAGAACUCCGAAGGCGACCAACAAACCCUAGCUUAACAUCACCGCCAUUGAUACAGAUCUGCGUAAACCAAUAAGUUAGGUCACUCGACAGAGAUACCUCAAAACCCUAGCCGCAAUGGAGAGUGUUUUAAGAGAGACCAAAAACCUAAUCUUCAAUCCCACCAAUUUAUUGUGUUGUUUGCUGUGUUUGGAUUGGCAUCGUGUGUCCGUGUGCGUGCGGCUCUUCCUCAUCCAUCCACUCUUUACCCUUCUUUUUAUCCGCAUUUACGGAUGUGCCAUUCCCCUCUCUUCCACCGUCGAUUCGGGCCCGUUCUCCUCAUCACGGCCGUUGAUUACUGCAGCAUUAUUGAGCUUUCUCGAACGUUCCACACAACGGCAUGUGCGUUACACUUUUAUUCUAGAGGUAAGACGUUGAGAUUUACCAAAAUUAGAAAAUUUUUAAAUAAAAACGAGAUAUUAAUAUUAUUAAUAAUAAAAAUUAAGAUGAUAAAAUUUAUAUUUUACAAUAAAAUUUACUCACUUAUUUACAAAUAUUUUAUUUUUUUGCUUAAAUUUCUCAAUAUUUCAAUAUCAUGUUAACAAAUUGUUUUUUUUAAUUAGUCUAAAUUAUUAUUGAAAUAAAUUUAAGCAGUGAGAGGGAAGAAUGAGUUUAAGAAAAUUAUUGUAGUAAUUAUUUUUAUUUAUUGGACUUUAAUCUUAAUUGUGUUAAAUUCACAUAAAGUACAAAGGAAACAAUAAAAAAAUGGUAAGAAAAUUUAUUUUUCAUAUUUAGUUGUCCACCAAAAUUACUAAAAAAAAUUGAAUAUAAUUAAAAUUAAUUAACAAUUUAUAUGUUUUAAAAUUAUUUAAUCUUUUAAAAUAAGUUAAAAGGGUUUGAAAUAAUAUAUAAAAUAAUUUAUUGAUUUUAAAUUUAUUUUUAUUUUUUUUUUACUAUUUUUCCUUUCUAUUUUAUAUCUCUUGUAUUUUUAUUUUUAUUUUAUUUUUGGCUAUUUUUUUUCCUUGUAUUUUUGAGUUAGGUUUGGAUGCCCAAAUGGGUUGACUUGACCCAACCUAAUAAAUGGGAGAAAUAAGGGGAAUAAUUGUUGGAAGUUUUAAAAUUACUGACAAACUAUCACUAUUAAAUAAAUAAAUAAAGUAUUUUUUUUUAAAAAAAUGUUUUUUUUUCUUCUCUCUUAUAUAAGAGAGAAUAUGUUUUAUCCUCUCUGUCUCUCUCCAAACAAAGAGAGAAUACAUUGUUUUUUAAAAAAAAACAAAAAAUCCUCUUUUAAUUUUUUAUAUUUUACUUUGUGGAAACAAAAGUUCUUGUGUUGUAAGAAAAAUAAGAGUAGACAUAAAGUUCUUUGUAUUCGUGAUUUCAUUCAUGACUUGAGAUAAAAAAAUUGAUUGGUGAAAUAACAAAUAAGGAUUCUUGAACAUUUCAGAAGGUAACUUGAAAACUUUAUUUUUAUUAUCCUCGCAUUUUUUGAGAACCAAACAUAGCGUAUGUCUUUUUUUUGUUUUUUUGUUUUCUUUUUAUUGUCAAAAUUUGACUUUUUGUUAUAUAUUAAAAAUUGAAAUUUGCAAAACAAUGUUAAUGUUUAAUUUGAUAAAUAACCGUUACCUUUAGAAUCACCAUAAACAAAAAGAUAAAAACCCAAAUUAAAAAAAUAAGAAUAUAUGUUGAGAAUCAUUCUUUACAAUUAGUAUCUUUGAUCCUCUAACAUGCAAACCAAUGAAUUUAUUCCCCAAAUCAAUCUACCAAACUUUAAAAUAUUAUCAUACAACAAUACUCCUAUUUAAAAUAUUGAGGUCACAUGAACUUAAUUAAAGAAUUUGAACUUUUUUUUUCUAAAUCUAGUCAAUUAGGCAAGGAUAAGUGUAUUAAACCUUGGGUCUUUAUAAAUGAUCUAAUAGGGUCAAAGGGGUUUAGGGUUUACUUGUUGCUCUCCAACGAAAUGGUUGAAAGUCAAAUAAUUGUCAAAUUGUCUUUUUUUUUUUUUUUAAAAAAAAAUGUUAAAAAGAUUGUAAUGUUAUUGGCUUUAAUUUUAAGUGGUCUUUGAUAAAGUUAAAAAUUUAAGUAUUAAAGGUUUUAAUGAUAAAUUUUAAAUGUUGGAAAUAUAAGUAUUGAAAAUGUCUUUUAAAUUUUAAGUGUUAAAUUUGUUUUAAUUAUUUAAUAAAAUAAAAAAUUUUGAGUGUAAAAAUAAUUCAUUUUAAAAGUCCCCCAAAUGUCAUUUAGCUAAAAAAAAAAUGUAAAAAGUUGAAAAUGUCCUUAGACUAAAACCUCAAAAUUCAAGAACAAAGGUAUCAAGUGAACAAUGUUAAUACAAGUAUAACAUAAAUGCACUAUACUUUCAAUAUAAAUUUACGAUAUUACAAUAUAUUAUUACAUAGAUUUUGACAUGACCCAAUUUAGAAAGUUUUGAAUUUUUUUUAGAUGGUGCUAAUACAUUAGUUUGAUGUGUUAUUACAAAGGAUAAAAAUAUUGAUAAUCACAUAUAUAUCAGGACUUCGAUUUUACGGAUAUUUCGGAUAUAUCAAAUAUAUAUUGAUGGAUGUUUUGGAAAAAAAAUAUGAUAGACUUAAAAUUGAUCAAAAUUAAUGAAAAAUGUAAUAAAAACCUUAUAAACAUGUAAUUACAAAUAUAAUAGACAUUUUAAAGUUGUUUUGUUGAAGAAUUUGAUAUAUGUAUAAUGUGAUUUAUCAUAUUUGAUAAUAAAUCCUAUGCAUUGAUAAAAAAAUAUGAAUUUUAUAAGUGUAUACUUAUUAUUAAAUUAUAUCAAAUAUUAUUUCAUAAUAAUAUUGUGAUAUUUGAUUAUAAUAUUUUAAUUUUAAAAUUAUGAUUCAUUUAAUUCAAUUGUAUUAAAUGAUAUAAAAUAAAUUAUGAUAUCUGUAUAAUUUUUUAAUAUUUAAUUAAUCUAUUAAUGAUAUUAAAAACACUAUGAAGAAAAUUAUCAUGAUAAUUUUUAUAUUUUUGAUAAUCAAUUAAAUGAAACUUUUUUUAUUUAAUUAUAAAAUAAUUGUAAUUAAUUUGUUAUCUAAAAUAAUCUUUUAAUAUAUUUUUUUUAAUGAAUUUCAAUAUAAAUAUAUUCAAUACAAUAUAUUUAAGCUUGCCCUAAUGGUAGGCCAAGCCUUAGGUAAGCUUUUUGUUUGGGGUUCAAGCCCCCUUAACAGCAAGUUAGAAGACAAUUUUAAGCUUUAGAGCUUGUUGACCCGCAUUGACGAUCUAGAAAAAUCGGUGGUUAAUACUAAUGCUAAUAAAUAAAGUAAAUAGACAUUUUUAAGAUUAUUACUUUUAUCAUGAAACAUAUGUACGACAUAAAUGUACUACACUUAUGUUCUAAAUACAGUAACAUUACAAUAUAUUAUAACAAAGCUUAAUUUAAAAAAUUUUAGACUUCUUAAUAGAUCACCUCAACUCCAUAUUGAGGCUAGCUGAUCAAUACAUCUUUUUUUUGCUAGAAGUACUAUCAAGAUUGCUUUUGAAAGCUUUGAGAACAUAAGUGCUUGACAUAAAAAUGACUAUAUUUUUUUGUAUAUAUUUUUCAAUUUAUACUACGUUUUGUUAGCGAAAUAGGAUUAGACAAGAUAUGUAUAUCGUAGGAUAUUAUAUUUAAUUGGAUAAGAAAUGCAUAUUUUAGGAUAUGAUUUCCAAUGAAAUAUGAUAUAAUUGGAUAUUAAAUCCAAUGUACAUUAUAUCCUAAAGUAGAAUAUCCAAUGGGAUAUAUAAUAUUAUGCUUAUAAUUAUAUUCAUUAUUAAAAUAUUUAAACUUUAUAAAUAAAAACUUUUCGUAUUAUGUUAUUUAAAAUAAUUUAUAUAUACAUACACACAUAAUAAUAUGUAUAUUAAUAUUAUUUUAUACUAUACUUUAUAAAUAUUUUUUUAGUUGUUCCUUAAACCACAAAUUUAGUUUUAUAAUAAAAAAAUUUAUUUUGCAAAAAAAUAAAAAUAAAUUUAUGAUACAUAAUAUAUGUAUAUCCUAUAUCUUAUGUUAACAUUAAUAUAUCCCAUGAGCAAUGGAUAUAAAAAAGAUGGUAGAUAACAUUUCCCAAGCACAUAUCUAAUUCCAUGUUUGAUUAAACAUAAGAUGGGAUAAGUGAAGAGAUAAUUUAUCAUAUCCCAUCACCAACCAAAUAAUGAGAUAAAUAAUGUAUAAAAAAAAACAUGAUAUAUAUAUCAUAUCAUAUCAUAUCAAAUUUUCCAAUAUUUUGUAUUUUAAAAAAAAAAAUCUUAUGUUUCACAAUAUUCAUGAUUAAAAUAUUUAAAUUUUAUAAAUAAAAUUUUUAUAUAUUAUACUAUUCAAUAUGUAAAAAUAAUAUAUAUUAAAUAAUACAUAUAUUAAUAUUAUUUUAUAAAUACAUUUUUAAAUUUCUUUUAACUAUAAAUUUUAUUUAUUAUAUAAAAAGUUAAAAAUUGAUUAAAAAAAUAAAUUUAUUAUAUAUGGGAUAUACAUAUCCUAUAUCUUAACAUAAGAAUAACAUAUCUCAUGCAGAAAGGAUAUAAAAACGAGAAUGAAUAAUAUAUUAUAUCACUUACUCUAUUUCAUAUUUGAUCGAAUAUAAGGUAUGAUACGUAAUGAAAUAUUUAUCAUAUUUCAUUACCAACUAAACAUGAGAUAAAACACAAUAUAUUUUCUCUUAUUUUAUCUCAUUUUAUAUCCAACCAAUUAAACAUGACUUUGGAGAACAUCUAGAGAUAUUUUCAAAGUCUAAUUUAUCAAAAAAUCAUUAAAAACAAGAAAAAAUGAUUCGAUAUUUGAAGAUCUUGCAGGGGACGUUUGAAGAAUGAAGACUAAUGCGAUAUUUAAACAUUUUCUAGGGGGACGUAAUGUCCAUGCUCUAUUUUGUGUAUUGUACUCCAUCCUUUUACUUUCUUUCCGAAAUUUCACCACACUUUCCAAUAAUCACUUUUAAAAUUUUAAUACAUUCAAUGUGUAUGUCCUUUGAAUUCAAAUUAAUUCUAAAGCAACUUAAAAUCGACUUUAACCAAUAAAACCUUCGAAAGCAUGACACAUUGGAUUCAAUAUGGUAAUGAAAUAAAAUCAUCAAUCUAAUAUAAUACAUAAACAAUGUUAUUUCAUGAUAUACUAAUAAUAGACUAUUAUAGUUAUAUAUAUUGUUGAGCUUGGUGCCUAAGAGCGAGAUGGUUCCUAAGACUUCCAUUACUAAGAGUGGUGAUACUCCAAGUUUUAGGGCCUAUUUGGUUGCUGUUUUUGAAAACUGUUUUGCAAAAUAGUUUUUAAGAACAAUUUUUUGUGUUUUCAAAAAGAAUAUAUAUAUAUAUAUAUAUAUAAGUUUUUGUUCUAAAAAAAAAGAAAAAAUGUUUGGUUGAGUUAAUAAAAAAGUUUUUUAGAAUAAAAAAAACAUAUUUGAAAGUUAUUUUUUAAUUAAUAAAGUAUUUUCUUCCAUUAAUUUGAUAUUAUAAAUAUAUAAAUAAUUUUUAUAUGGAUAAUUCAUUUAAAUAAAAAAAAAUGAUUUCAUUUUGAAAAUUUUAGACUAGUUAUAAUUUCCUUAAACAAAUGAUGACUUUAUAAUCAUGUGUAAGUAUAUUAAUUUCAAUAAUUUAAGGAAGAAGAAAGGGUUUGCGGGUGGAGGUGUGGUGGUUGGGCAGAGCUCACCUUUAUGGAAACACAAAAAACAUCUAAGAAAACACAAAAAAGGAAGAAAAAACACGAAAAACAAUAUAUUUUUUGAACAGUGAAAAAACAAUGAAAACAUCUUUUUAUUGUUAUCAAAAAAGUAGUUUUUGAGAACACGGAAAACACAAAAAACAAAAACACACCCUCUUUCCUAAACAAGUUUUUUUUUUUUUGUAUUUUUUGUUUUCAAGAACAUAAAAUAGUUCUUGAAAACAUGAACCAAAUAGACCCUUAGGGUUUGUUUGGUAGCUGCUUUCGAAAACAAUUCUAAAAAAUAGUUUUUGAGAAAGUUUUUUUAAAAUUAUUCUCUAAUUUUUAUAAAACAAAAAUAUGUUUGGAAACUUAAAAUGUUUUAAAUAUAUUUUUAAUAUUUUUAAAUAUGUUUUAAAAAUAAUUUUUAUAUCUAUUGUUUUAUUUUUAAUAAUUCUACAUGUUUUUAUAAUUAUUUCUUAAGACAACCAUUAGAAAAAAAUAAAAAUAAUAUAAAAUAAUUAAAAGAUGUUAUUUGAGAACAUACUAUUUUCUAUUCUCAAUAAUAUAUAUAAAACAAUUGUUGAUUGUCAAACGUGUUUUCUAUAUUUUUUGUUAUGAAGAACAAAAAUUUUUUCUAAAAAACAAUUCCUGUACAGACCCUUAAGUUUUCCCUCUUCAAAUUGAUAAAUGGUAGUUUUUUCCAUUCAUACUUUCAUUCGUUCAUGUACAGAGUAUAUAUAGAGGGUAAUCACCAUUAUAAGAAUGGGAAGGAAUAAUACAAGGAAAGAAUGAUAUAAGGAAAUAACAACUAAUAUCCUAAUAUCUCAACUUUCCUAAUAUCUCAAUAUUCCUAAUAUCUCAAUAUUCUUAAUAUCUCAACUUUCCUAAUAUUUAAACAUUCCUAAUAUCUCAACACUAAAUAAUAUAAGGAAAUAAUGAUAUUCGGAAAGCAUUCCUAAUAUCUUAACACUCCCCCUCAAGUUGGUGCAUAGAUGUCACACAUGCUCAACUUGUCUAAAAAUUUUGAGAACACUUGACUUGAGACAGCUUUGGUGAGGAUAUCGGCCAAUUGAUCUUCUGAUCGAAUCUUAGGCAAUUCCACAAUCUUAUCAUCCAACUUUUCCUUAAUGAAGAAUCUAUCCACCUCGACAUGCUUUGUACGAUCAUGUUGUACUGGAUUAUGAGCAAUGUCACAUGCGACUUUAUUGUCACAAAACAAUCGGAUUGGUUGCCUAGAUAGGUAACCUAAAUCCUGUAAGAGAAGUCUUAGCCAUAAUGCCUCACAAAGUCCUAGAGCCAUACCUCUAAAUUCUGCUUCUGCACUUGAACAAGCGACGACAUUCUGCUUCUUACUUUUCCAUGUCACAAGAUUACCACAUACAAAGGUAAAGUAACCAGAUGUAGAUCGCCUAUCAUCCACUGCACCGGCCCAAUCAGCAUCAGUAUAUACUUCUAUACUCUGAUGAUUAACAUUUUUAGCAAACAAAAUUCCCUUCCCAGGAGCAUUCUUCAAAUACCUCAAAAUACGCAUAACUGCAUUCAUAUGUUGCUCUCUAGGAUUAUGCAUGUAUUGACUCACUACACUCAAUGCAUAAGCAAGAUCUGGUCUUGUAUGAGCUAAGUACAUUAAUCUCCCCACAAGUCUCUGGUAUCUUCCCUUAUCGGUUGAUACUUGAUUAGGCUCAACACACAAUUUUAGACCUUCUUCUAUUGGUGUAUUAACAGGUUGACAUCCCGACAUUCCAGUCUCCUGUAAAAGAUCUAAGGCAUACUUUCUUUGAGACAGAAAAAUUCCUUCACUUGAUCGAGAAACUUCAAUCCCAAGAAAGUAUUUUAGAUGACCUAGAUCUUUCAUUUCGAAUUCUUUAGAUAGAUAAUUUUGCAGAGCUUUUCUUUCUUUAGGAUCAUUUCCUGUAACUACCAUGUCAUCCACAUAUACGAUGAGUGCGGUAAUCUUACCAUGUUGCUUUUUCAGGAACAAAGUGUGAUUUGAAUUACUUUGACGAUAGCCAAAAGCUCUCAUUGACUUUGUGAACCUUCCAAACCAUGCUCUCGGGGAUUGCUUCAACCCAUAUAAUGACUUCUUCAAUUUGCACACCUUUUGACAUUGCUUUUCUGACACCAUGCAUCCUGGUGGAAGAUUCAUAUAUACUUCUUCAGAUAACUCGCCAUGCAAAAAGACAUUUUUCACAUCGAACUGUUGUAAUGGCCAAUCUAGGUUUGCAGCUAAAGACAAUAAUACUCGAACUGUGUUGAUCUUAGCUACAGGUGCAAAUGUCUCUGUGUAGUCAAUUCCAUAAGUUUGAGUGUACCCUUUUGCUACCAGUCUUGCUUUAAAUCGUUCAAUACUACCAUCUGCCUUGUACUUCACAGUAUAGAUCCAAGGACACCCAACUGGCUUCUUUCCUGGUGGACAUUCUACGAGUUCCCAUGUUUCAUUCUUCUGCAAUGAUUUCAUCUCUUCAUUCAUAGCUGCUUUCCACCUUGGGUCAGCUAAGGCUUCUUGCACACUGUUAGGAAUAGCUACAGUAGAUAAUUGAUUUACAAAUGACUUAUUUGAUUCAGACAAACGAUGGUUAGACACAUAGUUGCUCAUGGGAUAUUUGACUUUGGUAGACAAUUUAGGUUCAUAUGUGGGUUUAGGAAUACCUCUAUUAUGUCGGUGUGGUAACUGUUUCAUGAAUGGAUCAGGUUCCAAAUUAAGAACACCUUCAACAGACGACGAUUGGUUUGGUAUUUCAGUGAAGACAUCUUCAGACCUAAAUUGUUGACCACUCAUAUCCAACUCACCCGCUUUUUGGUUCACUAGUUCAGAUUGUCCAGAUUCAUUCUCCUCAGAGAUAUGAUAAUCAUAAUUGAGAGUCUGAAUUUUCUUAUGGUACUCCCCCUGAAGUUCAGACUCAGAUGAAAAAUACAUCGAAUCUUCAUGAAACACCACAUCCAUUGUAAUAUACAUUUGUCGAGUUGGAGGAUGGUAACAUUGAUAUCCCUUUUUGUGCAAUGCAUAUCCAACAAACACACAUUGCAAUGCAUGGGAAGUUAACUUGGUGCGUUGGUGUUUGUGUAGAUGCACAAAUGCCACACAACCAAAAACAUGAGGAGGUAGAUUUGGGAUAGUUGGGGCAACUACGGCAUUAGUAAGAGCUUGGAGAGGUGUUUGGAAGUUAAUUGAGCUGGAAGGUACCCGAUUGAUCAAGUAUGCGGCAGAUGUGAUUGCUUCUCCCUAAUAAGAUAUCGGUGUUUUUGCUGCUAUCAAGGAAGCACGAACAACCUUUAACAAGUGCCGAUUUUUCCGUUCAGCGACUCCAUUUUGCUGGGGUGUAUUGGAACAAGUAGUCUGAUGAAUGAUGCCAUGUCCUUCCAAAUACUUUUGAAGAUCAGAACUUUGAUAUUCUCCACCAUUAUCACUAUGCAGAACCCGAACCUUUGCAUUGUACUGAGUUUCAAUCAUUUUAUGAAGUUUUUGAAACAACAAGUUCACUUCAUCUUUGGUCUUCAUCAAGCAUAACCAUGUCAUUCUGGUACAAUCAUCAAUAAAAGUAACAAACCAACGUGAGCCACUCAAAGUUGGGACUUUGGAUGGGCCCCAAACAUCAGAAUGUAUAACCAUAAAAGGAAACGAACUUUUGUUCAAAAUUAACGGAAACGAAACACGAUGGCUUUUAGCCAAUUCACAAAUAUCACAACGGAAACCAGAAAUAUCACUCUUUGCAAACAAACUAGGAAACAAUUUUUUUAAAUAACCAAAGGAAGCAUGUCCCAAACGUCGAUGCCACAACCAAAUUUCAGACUUUUUCUUCUCCCCCUCAGAUCCAUCUGCCAUCAAGGCUUGUUGCAACUUAUUUGAAUCCUUUGACUGCAAGUCCAAGUAAUAGAGUUUUCCCCGCUUAAUACCACAACCAAUCGUCUGUCUUGUUUGGAUGUCCUUAAUCACACAAAAUUCAGGCCAAAAAAUGACAAUACAAGAUAAGGCUGCGGUGAUUUGAGAAACUGACAAAAGAUUGUAAUCUAAAGAUGGAACAACUAAAACAGAAUCCAAAUUCAAAGUAUAGUAAGAGUUAAGAAUCCUUCCCCAAUUACCAUUGGCUGUGGAAACAAUUUUUUGUGAGGAAGGUCUAAGGGGUGAAACCUGUCUAGAAUCAAAAGUCAUAUGAUCUGUAGCACCAGAAUCAAUUAUCCAUGCACUAUUAAUAACAGGUGUAAAAGUAUUUAAAAACUUACCACCAUGAUCUGUAGCGGCUACCAAUGCAGAGGCUUUCUCAGCAACAUUAGCCUCUGUUUUUAUUUCGGCAACAGUUGCAAUCGAGGUUUUCUUGGAAUCCUUCUUCCGUUGAUCACGAUUAUUAUCAUUAAUAACAAAGUGUUGAUAGCCUAAACAUGAUCUAAAGGUCCAUGGUUCAAACCCUCGGUUCCUCAUUGUUUUCCUGGUCAUACCAAGAGUCGUUGCUUUGAAAUUGUGGGAUAUCCAGACUGGUGGGACUAGUCUUAUUGAAGUGAGUGCAUUUGAAGGUUGACUUAUCAAUAUUAGGGCUUGUCUUAGGAUGGUUGAUCGUUGUCGGACUACCAUAGCGACAAAAUAUCCAGGAUUUCAGUUCCAUGGCUCUGAUACCAUCUUCAAAUUGAUAAAUGGUAGUUUUUUCCAUUCAUACUUUCAUUCGUUCAUGUACAGAGUAUAUAUAGAGGGUAAUCACCAUUCUAAGAAUGGGAAGGAAUAAUACAAGGAAAUAAUGAUAUAAGGAAAUAACAACUAAUAUCCUAAUAUCUCAACUUUUUUAAUAUCUCAAUAUUCCUAAUAUCUCAAUAUUCUUAAUAUCUCAACUUUCCUAAUAUUUAAACAUUCCUAAUAUCUCAACACUAAAUAAUAUAAGGAAAUAAUGAUAUUCAGAAAGCAUUCCUAAUAUCUUAACAUUCCUUUGAUUUUUCUUUUCUUUUUUCUUUUUCUUUUUAUUUAUUUAUUUCAGUUUUCUUUCCACUUUUCAAUAUGGGUUUUUAACAUUUUGGCUAAUUAAUUUCCAUGAGCAAAAUCCCUAAAACAAUGCACAUAUUUCAUAUUUUUUAAUAAUUUAUAUGACAUAUUAAUAAUAAUAAUAAUAAUAUAUUAUUAAAGAACAUUAGUCUAUUACUACUACUACUAAAUAAUUUUAAUUUUAAUAAGUAAUGAUAGAAUAAUUAUAUUAGAUAAUUUUUUUAUGAGAUAUUUAAAAAUACAUAAAGACAUCGAAGUAAGGAUUGUGAGAGUAUAUUAACUUUAUGCAAAACAAAAUUGCAAAAUAAAAAAAAUCCUAUUUGACUGGAAUUGAAAAUAAAUAAAAAUUAUUUUUCUAGCAUUUGAAUUUUUUAAAAAGGGUUUUCAUUAGUUUAAGUUCUGGAAUUAUUUUUUAAAAUAAAAAAUAUUUGUCAUGUUUUGAAGAAUCCAUCAUUUUUACCUUAUUCUUCUUCUUUUUUUUUUUUUUUUAAUUGCCCACAAAUAUUUAGAAUUAGGGGAGGGACAUUUAGUUAAUUUGGGAUGGAAAAAUUUUGAUUUCUCAAUUUUUGAAAUUGGAUUCUUUGAUUUUGGAGGAGAAUUCCAUUGCUCUAAUUGGAGGAACCAUUUCCCACAAAUAUUUGGUGGGAUCCACUCCACAUUUUCAUUCCCAAGAUACUAAAAAUCCACUUUACAUUAUAUUAUAAAAAUUAUAAUUUAAAUAAUUUCAAUUUCAAUUUCAAUUGUAAAAUAAUUAUAUUAUAUAACUUUUAUAAGACAUUUACAAAAUACAUAAGUACAUUUUUUUUUUUACAAAAACAAAUUAAAUUUAGAAAAUUUUAAACAAAAAACAACCUUAAUAAAUUUAAAAAUAAAAAAAGGUUAAAUACAUUUUACUUCCUCAACCUUUUGCUUGCUUUACAUUUUAUCGCGUCACAUUCAAAAUUCAGUACCUUACUUGCUAAACUUGUUAAAGAGUAACACUUCAACAUUGUUUACAAACCUUAUAUAUAUAUUAUUUAAGAGAUUACUCUUUUUCAAAUAUGGUUCGAAUUUGAGUAGAACCAACUUUAAAUUGGUAGUCUUCUAGUUUUUGCAUGUGGCUUCGAAGUGUGGCAACUUUGAACUUAGAUAAUAGGUAUUUUUAUAUUUAUUUAUUUUACAUUUCAAUCUUAUUUCUUCACUUAACAAGCUACUAAUUUACUUUUGGGGGUAAAAUGUUGUUCUUUAACAAGUUUCACGAUCAAAAUGUUGCUCUUUCAUAAGUUGGAGGGCGAAGUCAUGGAUUUUGAAUGUAAGAGGACAAAGUAUAAAAAUGCAAAAGAAUAAAGGAGUAAAAUGUAUUUAAACUCAUUCCAUUCUUCUUCUCUUCCAAAAAAAAAAAAAAAGGUGUAUGGUUCUACCAAGGAGUUUGGAUGACUAGAAGUUAGAGGACGCAAAGACAUCCAUACUAUGGAAAUAGGUUUAGCCUUUUUAUUUGUUUUUACUUCCAAUUACACUUAAACUCAUCUAAUAUUGUGAUAUCCCAUAUAGAAUAGCCUCCCUCUAAACUCAUCUAAUAUUGUGAUAUCCCAUAUUUGGUAGGGGUAUGUAUGAUUUUCUCUUAACCAAGGUAUUUGUUUGUCUAGCCUCACAAUCUUAUGCACACAAUGUGAACGUUGUAUCUGCAUGAGUGGAUAAUUGUGAUAUUCUACAUCGGAGAGGAGAUGAUUAUGAUAUUCCACAUUGAAAAGAGGAUGAUUGUGAUAUUUCACAUUAGAAAUGGGAUGAUCGGGAUAUCCCAUAACGGAGAGAAGAAAAAGUUUUUGAUAUUAUAAAUGUAUGAACUUUUCUAAAUCAUGUACGCAUUUUAAGUUGUGAAGGUCUAUUAUCAUCAAAGCAAACAAUAUCUAUUUAAGAGGAAGUCGACUAUUACAACAUAUAUCAAAGACAAUCUCAGCUUUGAUUGAGCUUUUGUUUAUUUGACUCUGCAAGAUGUGUUUACAUGAGAGGGAGUGGUUAUUACAAAUAUGCUAAUAUAUAUUAAAAAUUUUAAAAUAUAGAUUAGGUGUUGAUUAAAAAUUGUAAGUAAUAAAAAUAAAAUUCAUUAUAAAUUUAAAACUACAUGUUUAUGUUAAAACGCUAUGUCAAUUUUAAAAUUAGUUAGCUGACUAUAUAAUUUAUUGGAAAAUAAGAUACAAUUUAAAUUUUUUUUAGAUGUGAAGAACACUUCUAAUAUUUUUAUGGUUUUUAGAUAAAGUCACUAGUAUCAUGAAAAUGUGAUCCUAGAUUUUCCAUGCAAUACUAGACAUGAGAUAGAUUUUCCAAAGAAUAAGACUUUUUUUGAAGAAGCUAAUUCAUUUGGAACCCUGCAGGUCCAUUUUUUUUCCUAUUCAAAGACGGCUCCCUUUGUCUUUGUUUUCACAUCGAGAAUUCUUACACCAAGAAACAUAAUAGAUUUUAGAAAUUUUCAUCAUUCAUAACCAUAACAUUUGAUACUGUAAUUAUUCACAUCCAACCGUAUAAAUAUUGUCCACUUUGAACCCAAAAAGAUCCUCAUGACUCUAAUAUGUAAAAACGCAACCUGAAAUUUAGUUUAUGUUUUAAUAUUUUUUAGUUUGAGUGAGUUGAACCUAGUCUUUGCCUUAUCUUAAUGUGAGUGAGAAUAACUUGAUCAUCAUAAAAAUAUAUUUAAAGUUCAAUAAAUAAUUUUUGUUUAUUACUUUAAGUUUAUUUUACUUAUUUUAAUUCUUUAAUAUAAAAAUAAAAUAAUUUUAAACUCUAUAAAAUUUUAAUUAUAUUUAAUAUUUUUUAAAAUUAUUUUUCUCAAUAUUUGUUUUUCUUUCCUUAGUAGUUUCCUGGACUACACCCAACCUUAUGUGGCCCAACGAUAAUCCCUUCAAGUCUAACAUUGCCAUUUUCCCUCUAGCAAUGGAGCAAAAAAUCAAGUACAAGAAUCCAAUUCUCAAAAGUAACAAGCCAAACAACCCCUACAACAAAAUUUCAGCAAAAUAGCUACAAAAAAAAUAUUAGAUCUAUACAAAAUUUAACAACAACUAGAGACUUCCACAACUGAUCAAAUAUCAUUGGCAAAAAAUAAUACUUACCAUAAAGUUCUAAUAAUAUAUCUUGAUUUCACUAAAAUUUUAAAAUAAAUAAAUUUUUUAAUACUCAUAUUUUUUUCUUUUAUUUUUCUAUAUAUAUAUAUAUAUAUUCUAUUUUGUCAUUUUUUAAAUAAAAUUGAUUGUUUUUAAUUUUAUAUCGUGGAUCCUAUAUUUUAAUUAUAUAGGAAUUUUCAAAAUUUAUUAGAGAAUGAUAAAUUCUUUAAAAGAAUUUUAAAGGCAGUUUACUAUAAAAAUAAUUUAAAAUUUUAUGAGUUUCUUAGUAGUUUUUGAAAUCUUUUGGAAAUUUCCUCUAAAUGUUCUUGAUUAAUUUUUAUUUUUAUAAAAUUUUAAUUUCUUUUCAAUAUUUCCCAUAUUUUGGUUAUUUAUUUGAUAUAUUAUCAAAAUUAAUAUUUAAAAUUAAGUGAUAAAUAUCAUUAAUUACUCUUCCAAGCGAAAGUUACUAUUGAUCUUCACACAAAUGCUAUCGUAAGGGUUUAAAUAUAGUAAUAGCUUAAACACAUCAACAAGCUGGAAUAGCUCAGUUGGCUAGAGCGUGUGGCUGUUAACCACAAGGUCGAAGGUUCAAGCCCUUCUUCUAGCGAUUUUUCACCUUUUUUUUAAAAUUAUUUUAUCUGUCAAUACAAUUUUGAAUUUUUUUAAAAAUAUUUUCAUUGAUUGAGUUUACCAUAUAGUUUAAUAAUACAUAAACUCAAUAUAUUUGUUAAAAAUAAGGUUCUUCCAAUGAUUUUUACCAUAUAAUUUAAAAAACAACUGAAUAUACUUUUUAGAAAUAAGGUUCUUCUAGCAAUUUUUUCCUUACUCUAAAAAAUAUGGUUCUUCAUACCCUUCUCCUAGAGAUUUUUUUUUUUUUAAAUACAUUUAUUUAAAAAUAAUUUUCUUUAAAAUAUUUUGAUUGAUUGAGUUUACUGUAUAGUUUAAUAGUACAUAAACUCAAUAUGUUUUUUAAAAAAUGAGGUUCUUUUAGUGGUUUUUUCCUCUCUUUUUAAAUACAUUUAUUUAAGGGACAAUUGUGUUUUGGGGCUUAGCUGGGACCAAAAAUUAAGCUUUGGUCUAUAUAAGUUGCAUAAUUAAUUGAGAAGAUAUAAAAUAUGAACCAUUCAAAACUAUUUUCUACUACAAUGUUUGAUAAAUUUUUUGAUCUUAUUUUUUUUAAUAAUUAUUCUGAAAAUUUAUUAUUUUUAAAAAACUAAUUUUUUAAAAAAUAUAUUCUAAAAAUAUAUCAUUUAAAAAAAAUAAAUUUGACAUAUUUUUAGUUAUUUUCUAUAUACACAAUUUUAAAAAUAUAUAUUUUCCAAGAUGUUUGAUUUUUAAAUAAUAAUAAUAAUAAUAAUAAUUUAUUUUUAUUUUUUAUUUUUGGAAAAGGGUGUAUUUUUUUCCAAAUCACUAAAUUAUAUUAAAUUUUAUUGAGGUUUACAAAAUGAAUAAAAUUUAGAUUAAUAAUUUUCUACUUUUUUUUUUCCAUAGUGAGCAAAUGUCAUUUUUGAAAAGAUAAAAAAUUCAUAUCAUUCUUCUCAAUUUUAACACUUUUUUUGGGUCUUGGACUUAAAUAGUGAACUUAUAUGGACCAAAGCUUAAUUUUUGGGCCCAACUGGGUCCAAAACUCAAUUGUCCCUUUAUUUAAAAAAUGACUUUUGUUAAAAUAUGUUGAUUGAUUGAGCUUAUCAUAUACUUAUAUAUAUAUAUAUAUAUAUAUAUAUAUAUAUCAAUGUUCAGUUAAUUUCAAUUUUGAUGAUAACAAAACAAAGUUUGAAACUAAUGUUUUUUAUUAAGUGUGCUUAGGUAAAAAGAUUUCUAAAGUGACAAUUUUAAAGAUAAAAUAAAUCAAAAAGAAAUUUAAGAAGAAAAUGAAGAUCUUAAAGAAAAGUAUUUUCAAGAUCUAAAGCUUUUUAGGAUCAUUUUGUAAGGUUGUUGGCACACUAGGAUCAUACAUCUUAUUUUUAUUUAUUGAAACAUAAAAAAUCAUCCAAAUAUUAAUUUGAUUUAAACAUUUUUACAAUAAGAUGUCUCUUAUUUUCAUUUAAAACCUUGAGCUAAAUAUUUUCUAAAUUUCUUAAAAGGUUUUAAAAGGGGUUGCAUAAGUUGUUGAAGGUUCUAGACUUAAAACCGAAAUAUUUGAACAUUUCAUGGUGCAAUCGGUCAAGGGUUUAGGGAAUCGGUUGAGCUGGUUGUACUCGAUUGAUUGAGGGAUGUUUUUACACAGUCUCUCUCUCUUUCGGUAACUUAGUGGUGUUGACAGAGGUUUUGUCUUUCUCAGUCGAGGCAUUGAAAUCCAACAAUCACUUGCCAAAGCAUUAAUUGCUAAUGGCUAGUAAAUUGAUCGAACUGGUUCUUAGUCGGUCAAACCCCCAAACACACCUAACGACUAAUUUGGGUUUUCCAACCUUAUAAAAAGGCUCCAAACUUUAUUGUUUUUAAAGACAAGAGUUUUAAAUCUUUUAUGAACAUUAUUUGAGCCUUAGAGAGUGUUUUUUAGUGCAUCAUAUUUCAAAACUUUCAUAUUAUUAGUGCAUCACUAAAUCCUAGUUUUUCUUUGUAUCAUUUAAGCUUGAAUUUGUACUAGGAUUUUGCAAGAUUAUCUUUCUAUCAUGAGAAAAUAAAGGCUAUGCUUAAUUAAAAAAAACCCAAUUCACCCCCCCCCCCCCCCCCCAUUUUUGGGUGUUUUUCUUAAUUAAGCAUAACCUUUAUUUUCUCAAUUGGUAUAAGAGCUAGACCUUUUGCUUAAGACUUAAUCAUUUAAGAGGAAAUGACUAUUCCAUUAAGCUCAUCUCAAACUGAAAAUUUUGUAAAACAUAGAGCUCCAUUUUUUAUGGGAACCGACUAUCCCUAUUUGAAAACUAGAAUGACUUGGUAUUUACAAUCUACCGAUUUAGACGUAUGAGAUGUCAUUGAAGAUGACCUAACUUUUCCUACUAAACUAGUUGAUGGAGUCUUGGUUCCAAAACCCAAGCAAGAAUGGAAUGAGCUUGAUAGAAGAAAUUUUCAAUUAAAUGCUAAUGCUGUUUUUACUUUGCAAUGUGCUAUGGAUAGAAAUGAAUAUAAUAGAAUAUGUUAAUGCAAAUCAGCUAAAGAAAUUUGGAGAUUACUUGAGAUAACUCAUGAAGGAACAAAUCAAGUGAAAGAGUAAAAAAUUAAUUUACUUGUUCAUAACUAUGAAUUGUUUUCAAUGAAAGAAAAUGAGACUAUUGUUGAGAUGAUUACUAGGUUUACUGAUAUUGUCAAUGGUCUUGAAGCUUUGGGAAAAACCUACAAGGAAUCUGAGAAGGUGAUGAAGAUAUUGAGGUCACUCCCUUCAAAGUGGCAUACUAAGGCCACCGCAAUUCAAGAAGCAAAAGACUUGACUAAGCUACCUAUGGAAGAACUCAUAGGGUCAUUGACCGAAAUUCUCUAUUGUACCAAAAUACUUAGCCUUUUUACGUAGUAACUCUGGUCAAGAAAAACUAGAGAAAGAGUCACUACGACUUUUGUAGUAUUGCGGGUAUCGUUCUCAAGGACUGGCUUAUGAAAAUUGUCAAUACUAGAAUAAAUGAAUUGUUUUUGUUUAAAUCUUUAAGUGAAAAAAAAUAUGUGAAUAAUGUGAUACUAAGUAAGAGAAAUUAAAUUAAUAAGAGAAAAUGAAUAUUGAUUUUAAAUUCAAUUGAUUCAAGUUUGGGGUUUUCCACAAUCCAACCUAGGGUAUAGAAAUUAGAGAAAACAAGGGUAUUUUAAGUAAUAUGAUCUUAGGGUUUUGGGAUCCUUGGCCACUCGCGAUCAAGUUGAGUUCUAUAACUCAAAAUUGCAUCCGAAACCUAAUUUUUCAUUUUUAAAACAUAUUCCUAAAACCAUCAAAUGAAUGAGAUUGAUUAUCAAUUUAAGAUUUGACUUUUUAACCCUUCUUACUCUUUAUAGCUUUGUUUAGGGGCAAAUAAUGGUAGGUAAGACGAAGAUAACUAAUGAUCAAGAAUUACCAAGAAUCACUAGUAUCAAGUAAUAACCUACCGUAUCAUUCCCUACACGAACUCACAAGGAUAGGAUAAAAAAAAAAAUGAUAAAUUGUCACUCAACCAAUAAUUAAUCUCAUUGUUAUAAUAAUUUACCCAUUGUCCUUAUAGGUUUCCUAGCCCUUAGGUUUUCAUGCUUCAAGCCCCAAUUUGGCUCUUAGCCUCUCAUGGGGGUGAUGUCACAUUCACAAUCCAUAAUAGGGUAAAAAUCCAUAAUUUGAAUCAAAAGAAACUAAAAACAAUAUAUUUAAUAAAGAAGAAAAAGAAAACAAACCAAAGUUCUCGUCUUCUUCUACCUUCAAUGUCAAACUCUCCAGAAAAAAAAUCCAAGAUCCUAAAACCUAGAAUUGAGAGAGUUUAUAUAAUAUCCUCAAUUACCUAACAUGUGACACACUCUCAUUGGCCACUUAUUACAAAAUAAUUUCCUAAAAAUGAUUAAAAAAUAAUAAAAUGGUGAUUUCUAGUCGUGUGGAGUCCACCUAGGGCGGAUGGAGUGCUUUAGAUGCAAUUCCCGAGGUAGAGGAGGUGGAACAUCAAAGUGGCAGUGGGUGAAUUCGAAAUUGGUGUCAUUUCGAAGUGGAUUUCGAAUUCAUAAGUUGAAUUUCGAAAUCAUAAGUUGAAUUUCGAAAUCAUUUCGAAAUGACCCUCCAGCUUGGUGCAGUUGUCUUCAAAUGGCCAUAACUUCUUCAUUUCAGCUCCGAUUUGCAAACCGUUUAAAGAGUUGGACUCCUGACUUCCCGAGCUUCGAAACAAUAUAUAGUAUGUAUAUAAUGGACUCCAGAAAGUGCUCCAAAUUUUUCCUCAAAGUCAGAGUAUAUAAUGCCAUUAGAUUUUUGAGUUCCAAAUUUCCAUGCAGCUAAAUCUUGCUUCAUGCCUCAUUUCCCAUGCUUUCUUACCUUCUUUAUUACUCCAUAAUGGUCAUUUAUCAUCCUCCAACCUCAUGAUAUCCUUGUUUUGCCUUUCCUUACGUUCAAUGAGUCUUGACUCACUUAUUUCCUCAUUUAGCCCUUUCUUGAUCUUUCAAAAUCUAAAGUCAUUCAAUUUGCACAAUUUUCUUCCUUUGAACCUGAGAUAAAUCUCCAAAGUAUAGAUUAAACUCAUGGCUAGGGCCUUAGCAUUGAUUUAGGUCAAGUUGGGUGAUUUGAAUGUCCUUUGGUGCACAAAUCAUAUCGAAUAUGUGCCAUUAGAGCACAUAUUUUGGCUCCAAUCAGUCAUUGAUGACUUAUGAGAUAAAUUUGAACAAUCAUAAAAAAAUUGAAGAAAAUAAGAAAAGUAUAGCUUUUAUGGCUUCAAUAAAUGAUGAUGAAGAAGAAGAGAGUGAAAGUGAAAGUGAUGAAGACUCCAUGGAAGAAGAAUGCACAAAUGAGGAUGCUAACAUGUGCUUUGUGGCUUUGGAAGAACAUCAAGAUGAGGUAAACUCCAACUCUAACCAUUUUGAAUUUCAAGAUGUACUUCAACAAUUAUAUUUUGAUAUUGAAAAACUUGGUUUCAAAAAUAUCUCCCUCAAGAAAAAGAUUUCUUGUCUUCAAAAUGAGCUCAAUGAGCAUAAGGGAAAUUUGAAAAUAUUGAGAAGGAAAAAAUCUCUUUUGGACAGGAAAAUGAGGAGUUAAAAAUUCUCAAAUGGUCAAAAGACUUUUGAUAUGAUUUUGGCAAAUCAAAAGUGCAUUGAUAAAAAUGGGCUAGGAUACAAGCCUUUCAAAAAUCAAAUUUUUUUAAGAAUUAUUUUGUAAAGGAAGCCUCUAAUUUUUCACCUUCAACUAUUUGCAAUCUUUGUGAGGAGGUCACAUUAGUGAUAUUUAUCCCUUAAGAAAAUCCUCUCAUGUUUUUCAAAACUCUAAAUUAUUUUGGAUUCCAAAGAGAAGAAAGACUAACUCUCUAGGACCCAAAAAGAUAUGGGUAUCAAAUGUUAUUUAAUUUGUUUUGUAGGGAUCCAUGCAAGAAGGAGGAUAUGCUUACCUUGGAAAGAAUGCAUUGAUGAUAUUGGUAAUGAUAUCCCUUCUAAAGCUUAAUUUGCAAUAUCAUUUGGCUAACACUUGGUAUAUUUUUUGUUAAUAAUAUAACAUUUGGUAUCACUUUGAUAAAAUUGGUAUAUUUGUUAAACCAAGGUUUGGAUUAAAAAGAAGACCUUUUUUAUACCUAGGUAAAAUUAAAUGAUCAUAUACUUGUAUGCCCUAAAAGUGUUAUUCAAUGCAUGUUAUAUAUCUUUUUAAAUGCAUAUGUUCUCCCAUAUAUUUUUUCCAAAUCAUGCUUCAAAUUGGGAAUGCUCUAAGGAUGAGCAAUAUUUUAUUUGGAAACUAUUCUCAAAUGAAAAAUGGGGAGAUUCAUUUUCAUGAGGAAUUAUAUUUUUGAUAUCGUGUGAUUCCCCUUAUAUACUUUAUUGAAACUUUUUGUUGAUGACAAAAAAGGGGAGAAGUAAUGGUAGGUUGCUAACUUGGGAAGAAAUGCCAAUAUUGUUUUAGCAAUUCUAUUCAUAUUGAUGCUGUGUGCUUUAUUGGUUAUAAUUGCAUGCAUCAUAUUUAAUAAUAAUGUAUUGCCAAAUUGCUAAAUUGCUCUUUAUGCUAUAUAUGUUUGAUUAUAUUUUUUUUUGAGUAUCCUUAAUAUACUCUUUGAAGUUUCUAAACUUGAAUAUUUUCUAAAUUUAAAAGAGCAUAUGAUUACUACUCAAAAAGUGCUAUUUGAUAGCUUGUAAUUAACUCUUUUAAACACUUUUGAGUAGUAGUUAUUGCCUUUUAACCCAAUUAACAUAUUAAGGACCUUUGCAAGAGCUUCUAAUCAAUUUGUGUUAAGUUUUGGUGUUUUGAUAGCUUUUUAAUCACCAAAGCAAUAUGAGAUUGAGGAGAGUUACUUGGAAUCCAUGGAAAAGCAAUGGAAAGCUCAGAAACAUGAAGAACCAAAGCUUUGAAGUCCUUUGCCAUAAGCAAAUCCGGAAUGCAAGGAGGGGAAGUAAAGAGAAAUCUGCCAUGGAGCAACUCUUGAUGACAGUCAUGUCAGCCACUUUUGGAGCACUUCCUGAAGUCCAAGUUAUGCAUGCUAUAUGUUGUUUCGAAGAUCAGGAAGUCAACAAUCCAAUGCUUCAAACGGUAUGCAAUUCGGAGUUGAAAUGAAGGAGUUACAGCCAUUGCAAGCAGAUCACUCCAAGCUGAAGGAAGAAUUUUGCACAGCGCUGCGAAAUCACCCUUUUGUUGCGAAAUGAUUUCGCAGCCUUUUUGUACAGUGCUGUGGAUUUCCCCCUGAAGUUUCCCGUCACGUUUGAAGCCGAACACCGCAAGCUGAAAGACCACUUUGCAGCGUUGCGAAAUCAACCGGUUGCUGCGAAGUGAUUUCGCAGCCCUUUUUGUGCAUCUGCGAAAUCUCGCAUACCUCGUUUGCACCUGCGAAAUGGUCCUUAGUGCUUCCCGAUAUUUACGACCGACACUUGGAGAUAUUUUUCAUCAGAUUUUUGUUGUCUAAAUCCCAAAAUUCUCCUUGUAAGUCACCAAUUAUAAGAUUCCUUAGCUUUUAAGUUAGGAAAAAGAGUAAAUAUCCAUGUAAUAGUUGUUAUUGUAAUUUUUCACAUAAAUAGCUCUGGGGAGCCUGUUCUCAAGGGACGAAACUUUUUGUAAAAGUUUGUAAGGAAGCAAAAUACAGAGCUUAGCUUUGCCUUACCUUCUCACUUUGAUUGUAUUUUUUAUUUACUAGUUAUGAAUUCUCUGAGGGAGUUUCCCCAGAGCAUGAGUAACUAAACCUUUAGUUCCUUGGAGUUAAGGUUGCCGGGAAAGGUUCCAAGUGCAUGAAUUAGUAGCUUUGUGGUUUCAGCCAUGAAUGAAGAGUAAGUGUGAUCCUUUUGUGAUUUCUAUAUGUUUUUAUUUAACUUAAAACGCCUUAGAGUCACCUGGGCCAACACUUGGUAAGGCAAGUGAUCUCCGUCCAAGGAGAUACACUAGUUUACCCCUUGCGAGCCUCUGGGAGGUGACUUGAAGGUAGGAUUUUCUAGAAUUUCCAACACUUGGUAAGCUUUUGGACUCCAAGGAGACAUCCAUUAGUUAUCUCUUGCGAGCUUUUGAAGGGAAGUCCAAGGUUAAAGAUCAUCUUGAAUGGUAAGUGCUAGUGAGAGGCAUGAACCGUUGCAAGUUGCAUCAGUGAGAGGGAAUUAGAGCUGAAAUCCAAUUAAGGGAUGCAUUUAUACAGCACAGAUUAGAGGAUUGACUUUAUGUUAAUUCUCUAAUGUGAGGAAAUGAACCAAUUGACCGGAGCUAUGUUUUUGCAUGAGGAACCUCCCCUGUGAACCUAAAUCUCCAAGGAAUGUUUUUCUUCAUAAGUAAUUUCCAGUACUUGUUUUGCCGUUAGCUUAAAUCUAAAUCUUUUUCAACCAAAGUUUGUGUUUUAUUUUUUAAGCUAACCUUGAAAUGAAAAAGCACCAAUUCACUUUGAAUUGGUAUCAUUUGUAAUUUGGAAACCCUUCCCAGUGAACGAUCCUAGAGCCACUAUGCUAUAGUAGCUUUGUCUUUGCUACCCUAGUAUAUGGUGUAAUAGGUUAUAAAUUUUGUUGAUUACUCCCUUAAUCAAAGAGCACCAGCUGGACACGAAUCAGCUGAGACACCAAUUGGGCACGAAUCAACAUAUAUUGAGGGGGAGCUUUUUAGCAACCUUGGUUUUGUCAUCAUAAAAAAAGGGGAGAUUGUGAAACCAAGGUUUGGUUAAUCCUAGUUUUGAUGAUAACAAAACAAGGUUUAGAACAAAUGAUUAUAUUUCAAGUGUGAUUAGGCAAGACGAUUUCCAAAGUGACAAUCACAAAGACAAAUCAAGCCAAGGAGAAAUCAUGAAGAAGAAGAUCACCUCAAAGAGAAGUGUUUUUCAAGACUCAAGCUUCAAAAAAUCUCUUUGUAAGGUUGUUGGUGCACUAGGAUUUUCAUGCAUUACAUUCUUUACUUAUGCACCAAAACCAUCCAAGAGUUAUUUUGUUUUGAAUAUUUUAAACUUUUGAUGAUUUCAUGUUUUCAACUAAAACCUUGUGUCAAAUGUCUUUCCAACUUGUUUAAAAGGUUUUAAGUUGAAGAUGCUAGUUUUUUUUAGCCAAAAACGGCUCAAACGGUUGAAUCAGAUGAGGAACUGAUCGACCGCCAAUUCAAUUGGUCGAGGUCCGGGUCAACCCCCAGCUCAAUCGGUCAAGUGUAUGAAUAGUAACCGGUCGAUCCCCAGCUCAACCGGUCGAGGGUGCAAAAAACUUUCUCUUUCUUCCAAAACGGUUGUUCAACCGGUCAAGGUUGAACCUCAACUGGUUGAGGUUCGGUUGACCGGUACCUCAUCCAGUUCAACCGGUUGAGCCGUUUUUGGCUCAAAAAACUAGCAUUUUCAACUUAAAACAUUUUAAACAAGUUGGAAAGACAUUUGACACAAGAUUUCAGUUGAAAACAUGAAAUCAUCCAAUUUUUAAAAUAUUUAAAACAAAAUAACUCUUGGAUGAUUUUGGUGCAUAAGUAAAGAAUGUGAUGCAUGAAAAUCUUAGUGCACCAACAACCUUACAAAGAGAUUUUUUGAAGCUUGGGUCUUGAAAAACACUUCUCUUUGAGGUGAUCUUCUUCUUCAUGAUUUCUCAUUGGCUUGAUUUGUUUUUGUGAUUGCCACUUUGGAAAUCGUCUUGCCUAAUCACACUUGAAAUAUAAUCAUUAGUUAUAAACCUUGUUUUGUUAUCAUCAAAACUGAGAUUAACCAAACCGAGCUUCCUCACACAGAGAUACCAUCUCAGGUACCUCACGCUCCUGAUCAUGCCUCUUGGAUGGAUUUAUCUACUCAGAUCAGUUCACUUGGCACUCAUAUGGAGGAGCUCACAAUAGUCAGUGAUACUCAAUUCUAUUCUAUGGAGGAUCGCAUGGAUCAGUAUCAGACUGGCUUCACCUCUCAGUUUGAGCAUCUGCAACAGAGAUUUGAGCUUAUAGAGGAGCGUAUGGUUCAACAUCAGACUACAUUUGAGCAUCUCUAGCAGAGUAUUGAGCGCAUCGAGAGUCGCCAGGAGAGUCAGCAUGAGGAGAUGGUGGCUUACUUGCGCUCUGUGUUUCCAUCUCUUCAGCCUUGAUUUCAUCGAGACCUCCUUCGUUUCUUUUUUAUGUUGCCAAAGGGGGAGAGAUAUUUAGGAUCUAGGCGACCUAUACAUGCAUAUCAUUAUCAUAUCAUCCGUUUGGAUUAACUUUGUUUCGUGUACAUUUGAAUUUACUAUAUAUGAUAUGAUAUUUUCAUGAUUUACAUUGUUUUCUAUUGAAAAUUUGCAUGUCCUGAUUAUCUUGGUUUUAAAUUUAUAAAUUUCGGAUUGAUUGAUCCAUGAUUGGUUUAAGGGGAAAAUUUCUUUUUCUCCUAGAUAACCGAGGUUUGUCAUCAUAAAAAAUGGGGAGAAUGUUAGCCCAAGGGUUCUUCUAAUCGGGUUUUGAUGAUAACAAACCAUGGUUAAGUGACUAAUUGGUUUAAAUGGUAAAGAAUCUCAGGUAUAAAUUUGGAAAUUCAUCAAAGGACCAAAUGGAUACGAGAUUGAGACUUUUGGAAGUAUUUUGAUCAUAGGAAAUGAAUGUAAGAUGAAUGCAUGAGCGUAGUUAGGUUUUUCAUACCGUUUCAUGCAUCUUUGAAAACUCGGUUUAUCCUUUAAAAUUUCGAUUUCAUUAAAACUCGAGUUUUAUCAAAUAUACCUUAGGCAAAACGUUUUAAAAUUGACAUAUUAAUUCACCUAAAGACCUUGCCUAAGUGUUAGAAAAGAAAGGAAUUGAAAAAGAUAGGAUUUUGGGGCCAAAAGGUUGAGCCGGUCGAGGCUCUAGCCAACCGGUUUAAUCGGUUGGGGAACCGGUCGAUCGGUUGCCCUUGUCUGGUCAAGGUCUGGUUGAGGAGUGACAAAAACACUCUCUCUCAUCUAGUAGCUUCCUCUUCCCUGUUGAGGUUCACCCUUUCCUAGUUGAGGUUCAGUCGAGGUCCGGUCGACCUCCGGUUGAGGCAAUGAUAACUUGCCAGAGCAUUAAAUGCUCCAACGGUUAGUGAACUGAUCAACCCCUAACUCGACCGGUCGAGGCUGCCUUUUGCUAUUUUUAGCUCCCGAGCUUAGAAACCUAUAAAUUGAGAGCUCCACUUCAUUUAUGACAUAGAGAAUACUUGCAAUCAAUUGUCUACCUACCUGUUCUUAGCCUAAAAGCUUUCAUUUCUUUCUUAGUGCAUUAAAUCAUCACUUGCAUAUCCUUUAGUGCACCCUUGUGAGUCAUUCUAAUUUUGUUUUGUAUUUGAGCUAUCUUUGAGCUAGGUUGAGGGAUUCAUUCUUGUAAAAACUAAGUGUUAAAGCCUUCAAGAGGUUUGAAUCUUGAAGAGAUUGUGUAAGAGCCCAUUGGAGCCGGAAUCUAAGUGUAAGAAGAUUGGAAGCUUGGUUGAAACUUCAAGUUAGUGGAACCCUCACUUGGUUAGGAGAUUGAGGUGAGUGGACAUAGGUAAGGAAGUGCCGAACCAUUAUAAAACCUGAGUUUGAAUUCUCUAACUCUAUCUCUUUAUUUUUUAAUUAUAUUGUUCUUGAACUUGUUGUGUUGAAAAAGUUUUUAAAAAACCCAAUUCACCUGCCAACGGUUGAGGUCCAAUGGUCACCUGUCAAGCAUUAAAUGAUAAUGGCUAGUCAACCGGUCGACCCCUAGCUCGAUCGGUCGAACCCCCAACGGUUAGUUUGGUUUUUUUCUUCUAUAAAAAGGCUUCAAUCUUCAUUGUUUCAUAAGCUUAACCUUCCCAAACCUUUCUUGAAUAUGUUUGAGCCUUGGAAGAGUGUUUUUGAGUGUACUAUUGUUCUAAAACUUGCAUAUCUUUAGUGUACCAUUCAAUCCUAGUUUUCUUAUAUCAUUUGAGCUUAAAGUUUUUGUACUAGGAUGUUGUGAAAUCAUUUAUUUGUAAAUCUUUGAGAGGAAGUUUCUCAAGUGUGGGGUAUCACUUGAGGGGUUGUUCAAAAGUGGGAUAUCUCUUGAGAAGUGUAAAGGGUGCUUGGAGCAAAAAAUCUAAGAGGGUGAAUUGGAACCAUAAUCCAAUUGUAUUGCUGAAGGCUUGGUUUGGAAGCCUUGAAUUAGUGGAACCUCAAGCUUGGGAUUGAAGCUAGAGGAGAGUGGAUGUAGGCCGGGUUGUGCCGAACCUCUAUAAAAUCUUGUGUUUGCAUUAUCUCUUCCCUACUCUUUUAAUUUAUAUGCAAUUGUCUUUAUAUUGUUUAUUAUAUACUUACAUAUAAUUGUCUCUUACAUUCACAAAGUUUAAAUUUUCAAAAAGAGACCAUUACCCUAUUCACCCCCCCUCUAGGCUGAUUACCAUAGGUUGGAUUAGCCUAAUUUUUAUAACAUAUCAUUUUUUGUAAACUUUGUGUACUGAACUCAAUUGCAAGGUAGAAGAAAUCUAAAGUAUGAGACAUCACUUAGGGAUUCUCAAGUGUAGAGUAUCACUUAAGAGAUUGUUUAAGAGUAAAGUAUAUCUUGAGGAUUGUAAAGGUCUAUUGAAACAUGGUAAUCCAAGUGUAAGAAUGUUAAAAACUUUGACCUUAAAGUCUGUGAUAAUAGAACUCUCACUCGGUUAGGAGUUUAAGGAGAGUUGACAUAGGUCGGGUUGUGUUGAACUACUAUAAAAAUCUUGAGUUUGCAUUCUCUCUAUCCCUCCUCUAUUUACUUUAUGCAAUUGUUUCAUUUAUUUUUACAUGUUAUAUUUUUUGCUUAUUUGUCUUUUAUAUUCAUUAAAGUUAAAUUGUUUAAAUUUUCAAAAAGAGACCAUUAUCUUAUUCAACUAUAUAUAUAUGAAUACAUUUAUUUUAUAAAUAUUUUUUUUAACCAAAUAUAGAAGGUUGAAGCAUUUCUUCUAGUUAUGUUUUUACUUUUAUUUUAAAAAUUAAGACGUAAUCUAUUUUAAGUAUGCAAAAUAUGUUUAGUUGAUAUACCUAGUGCUUCAGUUAGCCAACCUGUACCUGAUAUACCUUAACAUCCUUUCUGAAAUUCUUGAAAUUGCUCUUGAACAACAUGUCCCUUCAACCUCUCAAUCUGAGCCAAUUAUUCCUACCUCUUUUCCUACACAACAUGUAGAUAACACUGAGUUGUGUGUUUAUUGAAUGAGGAAAAGGCCUAAAGAAGAAUUAGAGGAUCAAACUAGUCCAGAGUAAAACUAAGAAUUCAAUUUGAGAUAAAAAAAGUCUAGGUAAUUCAAUUCAAGAAACUGUAGUUUAUGAUGCUUCUAAGAAUCUUGAUAUGACUAUUACUCUAAGAAAAUGCGUGAGAUCAUGUACCCAACAUCCAAUCUCUAAUUUUAUUUCUUAUGACAAAUUAUCAUUAAAAUAUCAUUCAUUUGUUACUAAUAUAUCAAAUAUAGAGAUUUCAAGGAGUAUCCAUGAAGCUCUAGAAAAGAAUCUCUAGAAAAACCUGAAUGAAGGCAGACUGUAGGUGAUGAAGUCAAAGCAUUGAAAAAGAAUGGGAUUUGGGAAUUAUCAAACUUAAAAGGGAAGCAAUUAGUUGGAUAUAAGUGGAUUUUCAUUGUUAAAUACAAGCUAGAUGGAAGUGUAGAACUAUUUAAGGUAAGACUUGUGGCUAAGGGAUUCACUCAGACCUAUGGCAUAGACUACUAGGAGACACUUGCCCCUAUUGCCAAACUUAAUACCAUGAGAUUACUAUUGUUUUUAGCAAUCAAUCUAGAUUGAACUCUUCAACAAUUGGAUGUCAAAAUUUUUUACUCAAUGGAGAUCUAGAAGAUGAAGUCUAUAUGGAAAUCCUUCCAGGAUUUGACAAUAAAGCCACUAUUGGAACGGUUUGUUAACUUUAGAAAUCCUUAUAUGGACUUAAAUAAUCUCAUAGAACAUGGUUGACAAGUUUACUAAUGUGGUUAAGAAACAUAGGUAUAUACAAGGCUAGACAGGUCAUACUUUAUUCAUCAAACAUUCCUUGAAUGGGAAGAUUACUAUUCUUAUUGUCUAUGUUGAUGACAUUAUCUUGACAGGGAAUCAUACAAAUGAAAUGGACAAAUUGAAGGAAGUAUUGGUCAAUGUGUUUGAAAUAAAAGACCUAUGACCUCUCAAAUACUUCCUAGACAUGGAAGUGGCUUGCUCAAAGAAAGGUAUUGUGGUUUCUCAUUGGAAACAUGUUUUGGAUUUACUAAAGGAAACAAGGAUGCUAAGAUGUAAGCCUUCAAAUACUCCCAUGAAUUCAAACUACAAAGUAGGACUAAUAGCAAAAAGCCCCCCAGUUGACAAAGGAAGGUACCAACAACUUGUAGGGAAACUCGUUUAUCUUUCACACACACGACUUGAUAUUGGAUUUUCAAUAAGUGUCGUAAGUCAAUAUAUGAACAAUCCUAAUGAAAAGCACCUUGAAGCCGUGUAUCAAAUUCUAUGGUAUUUAAAGAUGACACCAAGAAAAGGUAUCUACUUUAGGAAAUGAACCAACAAAGGAAUUGAAGUCUACUUUGAUGUUGAUUGGGUAGGGUUCGUUCAAGACAAAAGGUCUACUACCGGCUACUACAUGUAUGUUUGAGAGAAUCUUGUAACUUAGUGGAGUAAGAAGCAAUUUGCUAUAGAAAGAAGCAAUGAUGAGGUAGAGUUUAGGGCUCUUACUCAAGGUAUUUUUGAAGGAAUAUGGUUGAAAAGAUUACUUGAAGAAUUGAGAAUUGAAGCUGAUAGAGUAAUGAAUGUUUUUUUUGUGACAAUCUAGAAACAAUUAGUAUUGCAAAGAAUCUAGUUCAUCAUGAUAGAACCAAAAAUGUUGAAAUAGAUUGUGACUUUAUUAAAUAAGAGAUUGAAGAAGGGAUACUUAAUUUGAUCUAUACUUCAAAUAGUCUUCAAGUGGUUAAUAUUCUCACAAAAGCUUUUCCAAGGGUAAAGUUCGAGGAAUUGAUUUCCAAACUGGGAAUGAUAGACAUCUAUUCCAUAGCUUGAGGGGGAGUGUAGGAACUUAGAGAAUAAAAUCCCUAUUAAAUAAGGAUUAGUUGACUUGUUUAUUUCUUGAAUUUAGAGAAUAAAAUCCUAUUAAAUGGUGAUUAGUUAACCUAUUUAUUUUCUUUUAAAUAAAGAGAUAUGAAUUAAUUCUAAAUCUCAUUUUUGUAUUUCAGUUUUACGUGUAUAUCCCUUAGUUUUAGGGAUAACUUUAUGGUCAUAAAUUAAAGAAUUCUCUAUGGUAGGUUCUUGCUAUCUUUCCUAUUUAUGUACUAUCAUUUUUCAUCGUGAAUAAUAAGAAAAAAAGAGUUUUCCUCUCUAAUUCUUGAACUAUAAUAUGUUUACUUGAUUCUUGAGGAAUCAAAUAAACGAGAGUAAUUUACUUUCUUUCUAAUUCAAGUAUUUACUUAAACUUGAAAUUAGAAAAAAUUUAUAAACCCUACCUAAUUUGAAGAAUCUCAUCUCCAAAAUGGAGAAUGGGUUUCCUUGAAACUAUACAAGGAAUCUCUUUCUAUUUCCUUAAGAUUGAAAAUUGGAUAAAAACUCCAUUAAGAGAUUAAUUAUAUGUUAAUUUGACAUACUAGCAUAUUAAAAAUAAUAACACAUUUUUAAAAAAUUUAAAAUGACAACAGGAUUACUAAAUAUAAUGGAUUACUUUAAUUGUUAUUGAUUAAGAUGAUACCAUAUUUAAUCAUUAGAAUUUUAAAUAAAAAGAUGUGAAGAUAAGCUAAUUCAAACCUAGUUGUACACCCGAGAAAAAAAAAGACGGGAAGGGGAGAGGGGGGGUGAAUUGGGUGUUGGUCUAAGUACAAAUGAAAAGAGAGUUGAGACCUGAGAGAGAAGAAAUGCAAACUCUGUUUAUAGUAAUUUGAUAAUCCACUUACGUUCACUAUCUUCAAGUUCUUAACUAAGUGAGGUUUCCAUUAAAUUUCAAAAGUGUGACCUCAAGCCUUCAAUGGAUGUAGUUAGAUUCCAUUUAAGGUUCCAACGGACCUCCAUACAUACCUCAAGUGAUCUAUCUCACUUGAAAAACACUUCUUAAAGGAAAAAAAAAAAAGGUAAGAUGAACACUCUCAAUCCUAGUAAGGAUGGCAAUGGGGCGGGACAAUACCCGAACCCGCCCCGCCCCGCCCUUAAUGGGAUGGGGUUCAAUUUUAAUAAACGGGUUUGGGACAGGUUUAGGAAUUUUUUUUUUAAACCCGGGACGGGUUCGGGUAUUUUCCCACCCCGCCUCGCCUCGUUUAUAAAUAUAUGACUAUAUAACAUAUAAUCAUAUCCUCAUAAGCACAAUCAUCGAGAUGGUCUCCAGAAAACCAGUGUGGGAAGAUUGCGCCAUUGAUACUCUCUUUUGAAUUGGGUUCUUCGACGAGCUGCCGAAGUUCCCAGCUCGGACUUAGGCCAUGAUUUUCUGGAGAAAUGCUUGAGAAAGUCUCUCUCCCGUAUUUUCUUUUCUUUUAUCCUCCCAAACAACAAACAACACCAUCAACAUGGCAUUUAUGUAAUUUACACCAUCCACGCUCCCAAAUUCUCGUCGCCGACGAUCUGUCUCAGUUUGGUUACCUAGAAAAAUCGGGGCAAACAACUAGGAAAAAAAAUCCGCAUUGUUGAAUUUUCACAACUUGGCAUUUUUUCUUGUUUUUUUCUGUGUCCAAACAGAAAACGUUAACUGUUGCAAGAUUCUAAAUUUUCUUCCAUGCUUUCUCGGAAGCCAAAUAAAUAGAGAAAAAAAAGUUAAAAAAACAGGAGCAAAGAAAGAAUAAAAUAGUUAUCUCAAUUGUCGUUUCAGUACCAAGAGUAUCUUCACUUUACACUAAACAACCAAAAAAAAAACCUCGAAUAGCUUGAAGAAAGCCUAAAUUUCCCCUUGAUCUGAAGAUCGCAAAGCAUAUUUACAGAAGAGACCAAUUCGGCAUAUUUGAAUUUCAUAGGGAAAACAGAGAAAAAUGAGAAAACAUUUGCAAAAAUCCAAGUAAAAAAUUUUAUAAGUAAUUUAAAAAAAAAAUUAAAAUUAAAAAAAAAGUUAAACGGGGUGGGGUGGGACGGGUAUGGGAAUUUAUCAUACCCACCCUGCCCCGCCCCAACCUGUUUAAUUUUUUAAAUGGGACGGAGAUGAGAAUUAUUUUAAAUAAAUGGGGCGGGGUUGGGAUGGGGGUGACUCGUCCCAAACUCGCCUAGUUGCCAUUCCUAAAUCCUAGUCUAGUAAGGUGCACUCACAAUACAAAUGACUAGGGUUGAUUUGAAGAUGCACUUGAAGAAUUACAAGUCAAGAAGUGAAUGCACUUGAAAUAGCUUUGAAUGAGAGAAAUAAUUUGGUAAAAAAAUGAAAUCUCAAGGUCUCUUAUUCAUAAAUGCUCUUCAAGUCUAGAUAUAUAGGUGAGUAACUCGAAAACCCCAAAGCCCAUAAUUUAGGCUCGACUAGUUGAGUGACUGGUUGGAUUAGUUCACUAGUCCUUAUGCAUCAAAUACACUUGUAGGUGUUGGGGUUCUAGACUUUGAUUGGUUGAGGCUCCUGCCUCAAUUGGUUAAAACAUACUAUUGGAAGUAUAAGGUGCAUUUUGUGCAUAUUAAUCAAUCGAGCCCAAUCGACUUAAUAGUUUUCUUCCUACCUCGACCAAUUACAUUGAAACUAUUGAAAAAAAAAAAGUCGGAUUGAAGUUGUGGACCUUCGGGAAGGCAUCCUUAAUACCAUAUAAACCUUUUAAACCAUAUUUUGAAAGAAUUAAAGUGAAGGUUUGAAAAAAUAAUAAAAACAUAAAAUCAUUCAAUUUUAUGAAUAUGUGAUCAAGUUGAGUUCAAGAAAUGAUGAUUUUGUAAAGGUUUGAGUGCAUGAAAUUUUUUGAUGACAAGUGCACCAACAAGUACAAUCUUACAUUGGUUCCCAAGUCUUCUUAGCUCUUCAAUAAAUUGAAGUUUUCAUUAACAAGAAUCUUCUAUUUGAGUUAUUUGAACUUUUUUUUUUAAUUUCAAGAAAACUUGAAACAAUUAAGUUGAUUUAAUCGUUAUUAAUUAUAACCUUGUUUUGUUAUCAUUAAAACUUGAUUAGGAAAACAGUUGGGCUAACUAAAGACUUUAGUUAUGGUGUAGGUUAACACAUCUGAUUGUAGGUAGGAUAUCCCUCACAAAUAAAACCCUUUUUGGAAAAUGGUUAUAAAAGUUCCGAGGGAGACCAUUACUUUAUGGAACACGUUUUAUAUGAGCAUCUUUGGGUGACAUUAUGAGAUGCGAAAAUUUUUGUUAAAUAGUUAAACUAUUGCCAUUGGAAAGCUAUUGCUAAAUUUUUUCUUGUUUUACUUAUUUUUGUGAUGGUAUGUAACUUUGCUCUUGGAAAAGAGGGUGUUUGAUAAAUCAACUUAAUGAUUUAAUAAAUUAAUUUAUGUCAUUAAGUAGAUUAAGCAUACAUGAUAAAAUAACUUAAUAUCACAACUUAAAGUUAAAAAUAACUUUAAGUAUUAAGUCAAGAUAGUAAACUUAUUUUUAAUCUCAAUUGUUUUGCCUUAGUUGCCCAUAUCUAGUAAGAGUAUAUUUUAUAAUCACGACUCUACAUUCAUGACUCAUUUUUUAUAGUGAAUAUUUUUGGGUUAUCUUAUACAUUUAUAAAACUUUAAAUAGGAAAAUUUAAAAAAUAAAUUUCUUGUUUAAAAUUAAUGAAAAUAAAUAUGAAUUAAAAUUAAUGAGUGUAAAUAUUAGUUAAGAUUAAUAAGGGUAAAUAUGUCAAUUAAAUAAUCGAGAACCUUAAUACUUUACCAAACAACCUUAAUACUUGAUAUAGAAGUCAAACAAUAAGAUUUAAGUCAACAACUUAAAAAUAAUUUAAUUUAAAGUUAGUUUAAGUUAUUAAAUAAUAAGUAUUAGAUUUCAUCAAACACCCUUUUAAUGCAAAGAUUUUUCCUUUCCUCUUUAAUACCCAAAUCUCUUUAAAUCCUGUUGUUUUGUUCUCGUCCCCUACCUCCCCAUCUUAGAACAUUAAUUUUCAUCAAAACUUUUGGACUUGAAAUUGAGGAACUAGCUCUUCUUAUAUCUUUUGUGGUCCAAGUGUAUUUGUAGUGGUCUCAUUCUGAUAUGCAGGUUUAGUCUUUAACCCCUUUAGCUUUGUUCUCAGUUAGUUUUUUGUUUUGUUUUUUUUUCAAAACUCUUCCAUUUCUGCCAACUUCAUCCCUAUUGCUUUAGCUAACUUCAUUUGGAUAUCUAAAGCCCUUCCUAACAUAAAGACCCAUGAGUGGCUUAUGGCUAGUAUGUAGAAAGGUCAAUAACAAUGAUAUGCUUCAAAAGCAUAGGCCUUACAAAGUCCUCAACUAACAGUGGUGUGUUAUAUAUGAGAAGAAUGGAGAAUUAGUUAUUCGUUUGAUCCUUGAUUGCUUAAUAGCUUUGGCUCUAUAGCAUAGGUUGUUUAGCUUACUAAGAUACUAGGUAUUGCCCAAAUGUAUGACAUAGAUGUUAACAUAAAAGUUUUUUAUUAUGGAGUUUGGGUUGGUAGCCUACAUAAUCAAGUGACAAUUUUUUUUAACCAAUGGAUACGUAAAACUUUUGAUUUAUUUUGUAGGUGAUAUUUUGCCUCCAUAAAUUAUAAUUAGUAAAUUUUUAGCAUAUUCUUAUAUUAUUUUUGUUUCUUCCUUAAAUGUACCACUUGUAUUUUUUCAACCUUGGUAAGGUAAAUCUUCUCAUCUUUUAUCAUAUAUCAUGUAAUCUAUAGAAGAAUCUCUCGUCCUUCUAGACGGUUUUAUUUAAUAGAAACAGCUAAAUCUUGUUUUCAAUAAAAAAAUAGUUAAAAAAAUUUCAUUCUCAUUACAAAGAAAUGAAGAUAAAAAUAAAAUGGACAACUUUUGUUUCUCUUUAUUUAUACUAUCUCCAAUUUCUAUAAAUAUUUAUCUAUUUUUAAUAUCAUUAUGUCUUCUCUCUUCACUAAUCAGGUAGGAAUCUGAUUUAUCUAUAUAUAUAUAUAUAUAUAUAUAGAAAGAGAGAGGGAGAGAGAGCAAAUGAACAUGAGCAAGAAAGCAUUGGGGGCAGUAACUAAAAAGUCAUAUUUUAUUCAAGAAAAACUUGCACAUAAAUUAUACGCUUGACAACAUAUGCUACAAAAUUUUUACAAGCCUCACUUGGACGAAUAAAAUGUAUUUUGUAUAAGCUUAUUCUAGGAGACAAGUCUCUCAAAUUGUUCUCUCUUUUGUUUCCCUCCUAUCUUUUUUAUUUUUUAUUUUCCUCUCAAAAACAAAAAUGAUCAUUUGCUGUCAAUGAAUAAGAGGUUGGACAAACUUAAAAGCCUGGCAAAACUGAGAGAUCUGCUAUCCCUUUUGGAAGGUCUGCAAUUUUCUUGAGUAGUGCAAGCCUGUUCUUUCUAAUUCUUUCUUCUUCCUGCACAUAGGCAAAAGUAAAAUUGGCCAUCUUUUCCAACACAACAGGAAGUAUUGAUCAUGGAAUAUCCACCCAUAGUAUGAGUUUGCAUUUGAUUCACACAAAAACAAAAGCAUGUUUGUUUGAGAGCAGGAACUACUUUGAAUUAAAAUCAUCAUACUAUCAAAACAUUCAGUUAGAAGUCAGCUGAAACCCCUCGUAAUAGAACUUGGUUUUACAGUUUUUUUUUUCUUACUCUUUUGAAUAGAUUUCCUAUAGGUAAUGGAAGAAUGUAAAAGUAUCACACAAGAAGACAUCUUUGUACAUGCAAAACCUAUUGCAAACCUAUGCCUUGAGAGCAUGAAGAGGGAAUUGCAAUUCAAAACUAUGAACUCCUAGAGCACCAUUUCAGUGGGUAUCUAUGCAUGUGUAAGUGUGGGUGUGUUCAUUUCUACAUGUAGGCAUCUAUAAGUAUAAACAGUAUAUAUAUGUCUGAAGGUAUGCAUGUUCAUGCUUUUAUGUAUGUUUUUUGUUAUGCAUUCUUAAGCUAUAUGAGAAUACACGUAUUAUGAAGACAUGCAAAUGCCAGUGGUUCAUCAUUUUCUUAGAUUUUAGUGUUUUAAGCAUUCAGUUUCACAAUAAACAUUAACAACUAUUUUUUCAUAUGUAUUUUUUCCAUCAAAUAAGAUAGGCACAUUACUUGUCCUACAUGCCAGGUCUGGGUGAGAUACAUCAUCAUAUACAAAUCAUAAAGCAAGAAGUUCCUUGUUUAUCACACUCAGACUGAACAUGUAGUUUUUCACAUGUAGUAGGAUUUUGUUUUUGUAGGCAUUCCAAUAAAUGAAAAUGAGGAGGAGCAUACCACCAUAACAAAGACAUUAUUAAAGAAAUCCUCAAGAGGCUGUAGCAGUUGGGAAGAUGCUUCGAAAAAAUCAUCAACCUCAAUACCUAUAGGAGGAAAAAGUUAAUAUUAGGGUUGGUAAAUAAAAUAUAUUAAUAUUAUCAAAGGAAUGUAACAUGAACUACUCUUGUGCACCAUUCUCAACUAGAAGAAUUGUUUAAUGAAAACAUGCUUUACAAAUAUAUGGAUUCAAUGCCACAAUAGAACAGUGAUGUCUUGGAUAAGAUGGAAGUACCAGGAUAUAUUUUGUUUCUAACUGAUAAGAAAGCCCUCCACAAAGCUCUCUCCUCAUUUGUCUCAAAUGAAGCUUCAUCCACCUAAGAAGAUUAUUUUUAUGCAAGUGAGAAUGUGGGCAAUUAGGUACUUGCAAUAAAUUGGUCCAUAUAAAUUCCACAUAUUAACAUGCCAUUUCAUAGGUAGGGAAGUAACAUAUCCUUAAAAGACAAAAGUGAAACAAUAAAGCAGUUUAACUUCUCCUCAAGUACUUCCACUACAUGAGUAUCAGACAAUCAUUGAUAAACCAGAAACUAGAAUAUAUAAUUUCAUUCACAACCCUUUAAUAAUACAGUACUAAACUAGUAGACACCCUUUUUAAAACUUUUUGUAUGCUGUUCAAUUAGAGUUUCAAGCAUCUAAAUGAUUUCCAAAGCCUGCCCAUUUAUCCUUACCCCAGAUUCACCAGAAUCACUCAUUUGCACAAAACAACAAAAAUACCCCUUCUUUCCCAUUUUUUAACACUAGCAAAUUUACCUUAAAACAACCUCGUAGUCGCCUAUAUCCUUAUCCAGGUCAUUGCCAAGUGUUUGAACCAAAAUAAGCCCUAUUAACCAAAUAACAAAUCUUUGUCCAAAAGGACCACAGUAAUCACCAGAGGAUUCGAUGUUGAAAGAUCCCCAACCAUAACUUCCCAUGACACCAACCUUACAUCCCAGAGAAACAGAUUUUGAUAGUUCACUAGUGAUGGGCCUCAUGCGGUCACUUGAUUGUUUGCAUUUGUCAUCUUCGGUUUCAGAUGUGAGAUCCUGGUCUUUAUCUUCUUCAAGGCUUUUUACAGUCAAAUCUUUCUUUCUUGCCUUAUCCCAAUGUUCUGGUUCUCCUCCAGUUUUCCCUACUGAGUUCGUUUGGAAUUCUCAAGUCCCUUUCAAAGUCAAGUUCUUUGUCUGGUUGGUGGCACACAAGAAGGUAAAUACUAAUGACUUGCUACAAUUGAGAAGACCCUACAAAGCUCUUAGUCCUGAUAUUUGUAAGUUGUGCAUGAGGCAUGGAGAAUCAACAGAUCAUCUUUUCCUACAUUGUUCUUUGACAAUGGGGUUAUGACACAAAUUAUUUCAGUUAACCAAGACGGAUUGGGUUCCCCCGAGGAGCAUUUUCAACAUGCUGUCCAUCAAUUACAAUGGUUUUGGUUUAUAUAAGAGAGGGACAGUUUUGUGGCAAGUUGCGUACAUAGCUAUAAUUUGGGUUGUGUGGCGGGAAAGAAAAGUGAGGAUCUUUGAUAAAGCAAGGAAUUCAGAGAAUCUUUGGGAUUCUAUUCAUUUCCUUACUUCUCUUUGGGCUUUUUGUUCCAAGGUCUUUACGGGGACUCCCCUUAUUGUGUUACAACUUGAUUGGCUAGCGGCAUGUAAUUCCUUUGGGUUGGUCUAGUCUAGAGAGUUUGUUCGUUAUUACAUUGUAUUUUCUUGUCUUCGUAUUCUUGUAGUUUAGUUUUCUUUGGUGGGAGGAUUCUUCAUCCUUCUUUUGUACUUCUUUUUUCUAUUAAUAUAUUCCUUUGUCAUUUCCUAUCAAAAAAAAAAAAAAGAAAUUUACUAGUGAUGCAUGGUGCACUGAAUUAACUUAUAUAAUUGUAUUGGAUGUCAUUUAAACAUCUCAGAUUAAUAGCGAGAAGUGCCAAUAUCUUCUCAAGACAGAUAUAUUUUCCGGUGAAACUACUAACAUUACAAAAAAUUAACUUCUAGAGCUCUCGAACAAGUAAAAUAUCACGUAAAAGGGACUUAGAGUAAAUGCAUGGUUGAACAUACUCAUUUAAGACUUGAGUGCAAUGGUUUUGAACCAACUUGGAGGCUGAAACAAGAAAAAGAUAAUGGGUGUGCUGCAAUUAUAGCUUACUGUUGACUUAGUAUUAUCAUCCAUAGUAAAUUAUAAUUUUUUUAAUAGACAAUAAGAAAUCUAUCAUAAAUUAUAAAUUACCAAGUAGGCAAUACUCUUCAUACUUUUUGGUUCAGUUUAAGAUAUUUCAGUUAUGAAUAUGACACGAACAGUUCUAAACAAUUAAAAAGUUUCUUGUUUUGUUUGUACUAAAAAGGUACGUGUUUCUCCAAAUCAAAGCGCUCAAAAAUCAAUCUAUCAUUACUUCCAUAAAUUAGGAAUAAAAAAUAUAAAAAAAUCCAUUUGGCAAAUCACGAAAUCGAUGAUAAGAAUAUUGUCACGUCUAAAUUUUAAACAAGGGGCGUGGAGAAUUAGUUGAUCAUCUCUUCCUACUUGCCCCAUAGUAUCAUGGUGCAAUACUUCUUGUGAUUAACUGGGUUCCACCUAAAAGUUUAGAAGAGAUGAUAAUUAUUUCCUAUAGAGAAUCUCAGAUAAUUGUUAUUCUCUAAAUAAGGAUAAAAUCCAGAAUUUGGUUUAUUUUCUAAAUAUGGGAGAUGGUGUUACUUGUUGCUAGCUGUAAUAUUACAGCUGGUGUGAAUCUCCUAAAAUAAAGGGUUGUGGUUACAAAACCUAACCUAUAAAUCUACUUGUAUUGAAGAUAUAAAAUAAUAUAACAAAAACAGUAUCCACUUUGUGGUCUGCCCAUUUUUUUUUCUGCAGCGUUUUUUUUCCUUCAUCUUUUUUUUUUUUUUGUUUCCUGCCCAGUUUCAUGGUAUUAGAGCUGGUGCCAGUUGAGAAAAAAGAUGUAUAGAACAACCUUAACUGGUGAGUGCAGGGAUGCUGGUUCUGAGGUCUCUUCGGAAGUCUCUCAGCCCAUCCCCACAAGUUCAUCCACUGCAGCCUCCUUUCCAACCUUUUCCGAAAAUUCUUCUCUUCAAAUCACAACCAUGAAACUGAAUAAUCAAAAUUUCCUUCAAUGGUCUCGGUCUGCUCUAAAGAGGAUGAGGCCAUCUUGGUUAUGCGGAUGGUUCAAUAAAAAAACCUGAUCCAGGAGAUCUCUCUUUUCCAACAUGGGAUGGAUGCACACAAAACUCCAUGGUUAUGGCGUGGAUUGUGAAUUCAAUAGAAGAAGAUAUCAAGGAAUUUUAUCUAUAUUAUUCCACCGCUAAGGAGAUGUGGGAUGCAUUAACUCUAGCAUACUCAGACAUGAAAAACUCAGCCCAACUUUUUGAACUUUGAAAGAGAGCUCGUGAUUUGAAACAAGGGGAGCUGGAUGUUGCCCAAUAUUUCAGUGCCUUGACUCACUUGUCGCAGGAAAUUGGUCUUUAUGUCCAAAUUCCAUAGUCAAAUCCUCAGGAUGUUGAACUAUACAAAAAGCAAAUUAAAAAAGAAUGAGUCUUUGAUUUUUUGGUGGAAUUAAAUCCUGAUCUUGAUGAGUCAGGGGCCAACUUCUAGGAAUCAAACCUCUCCCAUUGAUUGCUAAAAUAUUUGCUGAAGAGAGGCAAGUUGAAAACGGGUUAUGAUGGGCGAAUCAAAACCAUCAUUGCCUGAAGUUUCAGUCCUAGCAAUUCCUGGUCAAGAAUCCCCUAAGAACUAAAAAAGAAACAAUCCUUGGUCUGAUUUCUGCAAGAAAACAAAUCACCAAAGGUCGAUGUUGGAAGUUACACGGUAAGCCGCCAAAUUGGAAGGACAGUAGGGUUGGAAAUCGAGAUCCCUCUGGUUUUCAUAUUUUAGCUGAGAUCUCUAACUAACCAGAUCCUAGCUCAAAGUAGAAUGUUUUUGGAGAAGGUACAUAGUUCUUGCUUACCAAAGAGAAAAUGGAGCAAUUGUACAAACUACUCAAACCAUCAUAGGACACCAAUACUUUAUUUCUAGCACAAGGAGGUAAUUUUUUCUUAGCCCUUAGUAGUUGCAUCAAUGAUCUAGAAACCUAGGUGAUUUGACACUAGAGCCACAGAUCACAUGACAGGUUGCGAAAAAUUAUUCUAGUCAUAAAAUCCUAGUUCAGGAAGUUUCAAGGUUAAAAUAACAGAUGGAUCUCUUUCAACAGUGGAAGGAACCGGAACUACUAGAAUUAGUCAUAAAAUUGAAACUACACUUUGUUUUGCAUGUUCCAAAUUUGUCUUGCAACCUUCUCUCUAUUAGUAAGCUGACUUUGGGGAAGAGGAUUGGCAAUGCUAGAGAAUGUGUGGGGCUAUACUAUUUUGAGAAAGAAGCCAAAUUGAAUAAACAAGCUCAAACUACAAGUUGUAAGUCUUUUUCUAGAGGACAUAAAAUAAUGUUGCGGCAUCAUAGACUAGGCCACCCAAGUUUUUCAUAUAUACGAAUUUUGUUUCCAUCACUAUUUCAUAAUGGAGAUUUAUUUCAAUGUGAAAUUUGUUAAUUAGCCAAGCAUGCUCAUUCCACUUAUCCUGCUAAAAAAUACAAGGCUUCAUCACCUUUUUCAUUAGUCCAUAGUGAUAUUUGGGGUCCUUCAUGAGUUAAACAUUUAACUGAAAAAAAAAUGGUAUAUCACAUUUAUUGAUGAUCACACUUGGGCUUGUUGGGUAUAUCUUUUGAAAGAAAAAUUAAAAGCAAAGCAAGUGUUAAAAUUUUUUUAUGCUAUGAUUAACACCUAAUACAAUGCAAACAUUAAAAUUCUCAAAACAACCAACAAAAAAGAAUAUUUUAAAUCUAUUCUAGGAAGUUUGCUCUCUGAGAAAGACAUUAUUCAUCAAAGCUCCUACAUAAUAACCCCACAACAAAAUGGCAUGGCUGAAAAAAGAAUUGACACCUUCUACAAGUAACUAGAGCCAUUAUGUUCACAAAUAAUGUACCAAAAUACCUUUGGGGGGGUGUUGUUCUUACUGCCUAUUAUCUAAUAAAUAGAAUGCCAACCCAGAUUCUCAAUUAUGAAAUACCGUUAACUUGUUUUCUCAAAACCUAUCCUCACAACCAAUCUAUCUCUUCACUUCCAUUAAGAGUCUUUCAUUGCACUUCCUUUGUACACAUCCACGAUAAUGAUAGGAGUAAACUUGACCCUAAAGCUCAAAAAUAUAUUUUCUUAAGAUACUCUCCUGCACAAAAAUGGUACAAGUGUUACUCACUAGGAACAUGCAAGUAUUACACUUCUAUGGAUGUGGCAUUCUUUGAAAACCAACCUUUUUUCACCAAAACUUUCCCUAAAGGGGAGAAAGUUAGCGAGGAUGGAAAUAUUUGGGAUGUCAUUGCUCCCGUAUAUGCACCACCACCUAAAGCCUGAACAACCACAAACACUACUACCUAAGCCUAAACAGCCACAAACACCUUUUGCAGAACCUACUAUGACCAUGAACAAGGGUUCAAUGACAGGGUACCAACAAGCUUAACCCAAUCACACUCUGUUUUAUAGACAAAAAAGGGGUAAGACUACGAUUCUCAUAGUCUAUGUUGAUGAUAUAAUCUUGAUUGGUGAUGAUAUUAUAGAGAUGCAAAGGCUAAAAAAUACUCUUGCAGCAGAAUUUGAGAUUAAAGAUCUAGGCCCAUUGGGAUAUUUUCUUGGUAUGGAAGUAGCAAGAAAUAGAAGCGGUAUUUCAGUCUUGAGGAAGUACGUCCUAGAUCUCUUGGAGGAGAUAGAGAUGUCAGGGUGUAAGCCUGCAAGUACACUCAUAAAUCCUAAUUUGAAACUAGGAGAACAAUCUGAAAGCACACUAAUUGAUAAAGGUUGAUACUAACGUCUAAUAGGAAAGCUUAUCUAUCUUUCCCAUACUAGACUUGAUAUUGCCUUCGUAGUUAGUGUCGUGAGCUAGUAUAUGCAUUCUCCUUAUGAAGAACACAUGGAAGCCAUGUGUCAGAUUUUGAGAUACCUUAAAGGGACUUUGGGACGAGACCUAUUCUUCAAGAAAAGUGAAGAGAGCAGUGUUAAGACUUUUAUAGAUGUAGAUUAGGUAGGAUCAGUGGAAGACAGGAGGUCAACAAUCGAAUAUUGCACCUUUGUGUGGGGUAAUUUAGUGAUGUGGGGGAGCAAGAAACAGACAGUGGUGACUAGAGGUAGUGUUGAAGUAGAAUUUAGAGCUUUAGUACAUGGGAUUUGUGAAUUACUAUGAUUGAAGAUAUUGUUGGAUAAAUUGAAAUUUAUGAGAAAUGAGCCUAUGACGAUUUACUGUGACAAUGAGGCUGCCAUCGCCAUCUCUCAUAAUCUCGUUCAUCACAAUAGAACAAAACAUGUAGAGGUGGACCUCCACUUUAUCAAGGAAAAGAUCGAAGAUGGGAGCAUUUGUGUUGUCUAUGUGCCUUCAUCAUAGCAAGUUGCGGAUUUGUCAACUAAGGGAUCAUUCAAGCCAGUGUUUGAGAAGUUGGUUGACAAGCUGGGCCUAUUCAAUGUGUUUAGUCCAGCUUAAGGGGGAGUGUAGAGAAUCCCGAAUAAUUCUUAUUCUUUAAAUAACGAUAAAAUCCAAGAUUUGGUUUAUUUUCUAAUUAUGGGAGAUUGUGUUACUUGUUGCUAGCUGUAAUAUUACAGCUGGUUUGAAUAUCCUAAAAUAUAGCUGGUGUGAAUUUCCUAAAAUAAAGGGCUGUGGUUACAAAACCUAGCUUAUCAAUCUACUUGUGUUGAAGAAAUAAAAUAAUAUAACAAAAACAGUCUCUCUGUUUCCUGCCCAGUUUCAUUUCCUUUAAAGAAUUUUAAGGGGCCUCAUAACUUUGGACUUUUACUAGUCCCAUAUUGAUAUGGACUAUUUGGUGGAAAAGAGAUGUGAGUUCUGAGAAUAGAUGGAGCUUGGAGGCAGUUUAGGACUUAUUUUAUUUCCUCCUCCUUGGGCUUCAGCUGGUGAAGCCUUUGCACACACCCCCUUGAGCCUUAUAUGAUAGGAUUGGAACCUAGCGUGCAGGUCCAGAAGGUUUACUGAGGGUCACUGCCUCUAAUGAGUUUUACAAAGGUAAAUCUUAAUGGUAAUUUUUAUUUUUGAGUAACCUAAGACAGAGCACAGAAGCAUUUCAUAUACCUCCAGACCUUUAUUAAUUUAAUCUGAACAAAGCUUUUCUGAAUCAUAUCUAUUCAAAAACUAACAACUACCAGUAUAAGAGGUGUUUCAGCAAUGAAAUUUUGGGUAGUUAUGUAAAAGAAAUAGCCAGUGCAUUCAGUAUAUUGAAGUUUAUGUGCAACUCUUGAUGAUAAAUAAGUCCAGUUUCUGAGGAUGGAUGCAUGAAAUUAUUUCUGGUAGGAUCCUGGAGCAAGAUAUUUGGCUUAUAUCCAGUGUGUUAGAACCCUAAUAACCAACUACAAUCCUGCCAUUUUCUUCAAUGAAGAUUAGGCAAGUUAGGGCACAGCCCAUUAACCUCAGUCAAGCUAAACAUCUGAAACCAGACAACUUUCAGGUCCUAAGAAACAAGUUUCUGAUUAGAUUUAAUAAACAAAACGUAACAAAUACCUCCAUAUCAGCUUCCACAUCCUUUCCACGAACAAUUCUUGUUGGACGAGAAUAGGCUUCAACAACCUUCGGCAGAAGCUCACCUCUUGACAUGGCAUCCAUCUAAAACCAAUUAAUUUUUACACCAUUAAAACUAGAUAUAUCCUCCAAGAAUAUUGAAAAGGGGUAAGCAAUAUCCAUUCUUUUCCCUUUUUUUCAACAGCACAAGUAUAUUAAUGAAAAAUUGAAGUCAUAUUCUCAAGAGUAAACUUUUUCUAUUAAAUUCUUGCAUCUUUUCAAAAUGAAUAAAUAAAAAGAAAAUGGCAGAGAGAGGGGACAAGGCAACAUUGGAUAAAUUUUGAGAAAACUUCAAAUUAAGUUGUAUCUUAUAUUGAAUUGACAGAAUAAACCCAGCUUUUGGGCCCCAACGAGUUUUACCAGUAGUAUUCUUUUGCAUGCAUGCAAACCAACUUACAUAAAACAUCAAUUUUAUUUCCUUUCUUUUCUUUUUCCUAUUCUACAGUUUUAUUUCAAUGAGUACCUUAAGAUUUCUAUUAUUCGGAAAGGAGAAUAUCAAAUGGGAAAAAUAACUACUGCUAAAUAAAAACAAAGGAAAGAUGAGCACAUGAUCCUGUUAGCAAAAUACAGCAAAGCCCAAUCACUAAAGGUCCACUAAAGGACAGAAAACAAUAAAUAAAUUUUGAAACUUGAGAAGUCAGUAAUGCAAACAUGAUGAUGCAAAUCAUGUUAAGAAAAAAAAAGGGCUUAUUGAGAUUUUCUUUGUAAAAUAAAUGUUAAAAUCUAGAUGGGUAUCUAGUUAACUAGUUUAGUCAGUAUUCUAAAUUACUAACCAACAACAUGGAUUGCCCAGCGAGAAAACUCUUAGCAAGUAAAUGCUACAAUGGCUAUAAUAUAGCUAGUUAAGCAGGCAGAUAGUGUUCAUUUCAAAACCUCUGUUACCAAAUUUUUUAUUACCCUUAAACACAAAGGCUGUGUUUGCUUCCUAGAAAUUGUUAACGAAAUGAAAAAAGAAGAAGUUAAAGAACAUAAUUUUCUCAUGUUUGGAUAGCAUGGAAAAAUGUAAGGAAAAAAAAAUGGUCAGCAAAAGGAGGAAGAAA